ACCGGGUGACUAUGAAACAAAGUAAAGAAUCUGAAUUUCAAUUUCUGUAAUUAGGAAGAUGAGCAACUACCAUGAAAGAUGAUAUAAAAUUUUGAAAAGUUGGCAGGUAAAGUAGGCCCUGUUGGAUCAACUAUUAAAAUGAAAUAGUGGCCGUCCUAGACUAGCCUAACCCCUAAAGAAUAUUGAUCUCACUAGUACUCUUUAGGAGUAGUUGCAAUGUUUAUUGGCUACGAAUAAAGGCGCAUAGUUCGGCUGAGCACAGGUCAGUGAUGAAUUUGGUUUUGGGUUUCAGAAUUUUCUUUGGAUCAAUUUGGCAGCACAAAUGGCGAAAAAGUAAAAUCUGAUGACGAAAUUGCCGCAACUUGUAGCAUAUGACCUGUCCCAGACACACCCACUUUCCUUGUAUGUACCUCUGGACCUUUGCCUGUUUAUCCGCGAUUCCACCUCCCCAAUGAACACGAACUCCCGAAUCCAGAGCGGAGAGAGCAGAGUAACCGGCAGGACGAUGCAAUACGUUUUAAUUCUAUAUUUCUACUGCACGGUGCAGGGCACGGAUCAUCGAAAACCAUGUAAAAUCUGACCUUUGCUCGGCUAGAAAUUUCCAAUUUCGCGCGGCAAGCAAGAAAGGUCAAGAACAUCUAGCUCGCUAGCAGGCAAGCAAGUGGGGAUGGGGGAAGCAAGCGUACGUACGGGAGCCGGUGGAUUCCCAGAGGAUGGCCUCGCUCUGCUCGUAGUCGGGCUCCUUGACGACGUGCAGCACCAGCACCUGGUCACCGGCGCGCAGCAGGUUGUCCGCCGCCCACCGCAGCGCGGCGCGGCUCCCCCCGGAGAAGUCCGUCGCCAGGCCCACCCACCUCUCUCCCCCAGCGCCGGCCAUCUCCUCACUCCUCGUCCCUCUCCUACAGCUUCUUGGUUUGUUGUGCGGCGGCGGGCUGCGUGAGGACUAAAAGGAGACUGCUCGGGCAGGACGCGGUGGCGACUGGCGAGGUGGAGGUCACUGCUUGGGCUGCCAAAGGCGGUGGCGGUGGGGGCCCCUGUCACACUGUGUCUCUGUCAGGUGAGGACUCGAGGCCUAUUUGAUGAUUGAUGGGCAAAGGACACUUGUGGCCGAAAGAUGCCGUGACACCAUCCAUCCAUCAACAUGUGCAUGUGUCAUCGUCAAUGAUGCAUUUGCAGCUUUGUUUGUGCUGUUUUGUCUAAUGGUCAAUUCUAAGUAUUUCGCUUUGGGUUUGGCUCCUUUACCUCGAACGUUCUUUGGCUAUUACUUGAUAUUAUUUAUUUUUAUUUGGUCUUGAAGGUAUAACGUUGAUCUUUACUUUUGAUCAUACGCAGCUGUAAUAUCUAAAAACAUAUAAGAAUACAAAAAUAUUCUCAAGGCAAAUCUACGGUGAUAAUUUUUGUAUCUUCAGGCUAGAUAUUUCAGAAGUUAUUGACGAUCAAGGUCUCAAAAGCCUGAUUAAAUUUUGGUCAAAAUGGUAGGUAUGUGUGACGGUGGGAGUCGUAACGAUGGAGAUAUUUUGAUGUGCCUGUGCCAAUGGUAUUGGUUGCCAACUUGGCAUAUUUGAUGAGCUUUUACUGAUACCCUUAUACAUUUGAAAUAAAAGGCAAGAGGUCAUUUCCAUUAGACAACAAUAUACAUGUCGUCCCACUUGAAAGGUCAUCAUCAGCAGUUUAAUUCGCAGACCGUGUCUGGAAAACAAAACAAUGGUCAAAGCAGCUUGUUUUCACAAGGACAAAUUCAGCCGCGCGCAUAAAGCUGUCGAACUCAUACUAUUUCUAUAUUUAUUUACAAGGACAAAAGGAAACAAGAGAUGUUUGCAGCACCACGGCACUCAAGAUUCCACAGAAACGAGCGACCAUCAGCCAUGACGGGGAUUCCUGGUCCAAUUAUCACCAAAUUGACCUCAUACAGGCGUCCAACACGGGCGUCUCUAAUCAGCGCGCCCGCCAGGAGGGCCGCCAGCGCUCGAUCCCCGACAGACCACGACUUUCUUUUUUUUUUUGGAAAGUUUAAAAUCCCGUAAUUUUUUAUUUUCAAAAUAUCAUAACUUAUACACGUAACUUUAAUGCAUAACUUCACGAUAUAACUUUUAUGAGAUAAUUUUUUAGCACAAUUUCAAUAGCGUGCAGAACUCAUGUGUAUAACUUCUAAGUACAAUUUGUAAGAAUAACUUCGAAUUUAUUUUUUUAGAAAGUUGUAACCUAUACGAAUAAUUUGUACGUGAUAAAUUUCAUAAUACAUUAUGAUAUAUAUAACUUAUACGCGUAACAUUUAUGAUAACUUUUGAGAGAAUGUUGUUAAAAAAAUUUAUGCACACCACUUGUACGUAUAUACAAAUAUUUACGUGGUAUAUAAAAAAUUGAAAAAUAAAAAAGGAAAAAACACGGGGCCGCGUGGGACCCACCGGGUGCUUGCGCCGCGAAGCGCUGCAGCGCGCGCGUCUAAUUAACAUUGCGGUCGAACACGCCGCAUUCUUUUCUUCACUUUCUGGAUGGUAAAUUGGUAUUAGACUUAAAAACUAGGUUCAAAAGGUAUCCAUCUACUUCCUAUUGUCAAUCUACUCCCUCUGUCCCAAAAUAAGGACACUUUUAGAGUUUGGAUGAAGAGAUUGAUGUUAGUGAAAAAUUACAUAUAUACCCUGUAAAGUUAUAAUCAUUGCACCGAGAAAGUAGAAAAAACAAUUAGAGUUGCGUGGUCCCAUUCCUAGAUGCGCACUUAUUUUGGACAAAUUUUGAACUCUAGAAAUGCACUUAUUAUGGGACAGAGGGAGAACUCAUUUCAUGCUUGAAAGGGCUGGAUAACCCUUCACGGGACCUACUAAUGACAGGGCAUCUUGUAAUGCCUCCAACAGAUGAUCUGGAUGAUCCUCGAUGUGCACACGACCAAACUGUGCUGGUAUUUUGCGUAGAGUUCUUCCAAUGAUCUGCAAUACAGAAGGAAAAAAAACUAUGAGGAAAGCACAUGUGAGAACCAUGGGCUCAUUAAUAACUAGAUUAAUCUUAAAAGCCUUGUAACUACUUUUGUUUCAGUAAGGGUCAAGCUUAAAAGACAUGUCACCAGUUCCAUUUCAGUAAGGAUCAAGCUUAAAAAGCCAUGUCACUAGUUCAAACCUUGCGAGCAUAGCCGCCAUAAGCAAUCCCUCCGAUCAAAGCUUGUUGAGAACUGAUUGUUUCAGAGGUUGUUGUCCCUGAAUUCAAUUAGAUAAAGAGGUUGCUCAAAAGGACAUUUUCUUCCCACGAAAGAUAAGUUCAGUAAGCAACUGGAGCUACAUAUUGAGUUCUUUAUUCUGUACUACCAAUUCAACAAAGAAAAGUCAUGUAAGGAACAACUUACCAGGAAAAGUCAUGGACUGGAAAAGACCAGCUUUCUUUAAGCAAUCAAUAGUGUAUGAGUUGGUGCCACCGGCCAGCUGAUAGAAGCCUUCAAAACCAUAGAAACAGCAGAUACUUGACAACUGUAGGGGGAAGAGAGCCACAUAAGGCAGAAAAUUAUUCCAGUGGUUUGCUUUGUUUACCAGGUGGUCUUUCUGGCACUGAAGCCAUAUGAAUAGCAAAAGAAACUGUUUCCCUUGUUGCACCACGACCAAUGUCACCACUCAUGGGUCGGCCAUCCAACUGAUCACAAAAAAAGUAUUUUUUAAAAGAAAAUCCCCGAAGAAACUUCAAUAUGUUUAGACCAAAAGUAGUACCAUAAAUCAUAUGCAUAACCAAGUUCCUACCACAAUCAAGAGGAUUAACAAAGUGAUACUAGCAUUUACAGAAAAUCUUACUAAAGCAAAAAAAAAAUCUUGACAGUUAUCGUGUAUUGUAAAAAAAAGUACGAAACUGUUAAUGGAACAUGAACAAGGCCUAUAUUUGACAGUAUACCCUCCAUAUUAGAAAGUGGCAAUUGAAUGGUUUAUUUUCUUGUGAACUAACCUGCCAAAGAUUAUACCCUUGAAGAUGAGGCUCCAUUAUUGCGUAUAGCACAUUCAUGAAAUCAACAGUUGAUUCACCAAUAUCAGGCAGGCUAACCUAAAAAGGUUAAAUUUGAGCAUCAAUCAUUGCGGAAGAAUGAAGGAAUUUCUUCUAAAUGCAAAGGAACAUGGAGAUAUUUUCAGCAUCAGAACUAGUGUAUGCAUCAGAAAACUAAGAGCGCAACUUACUGCUACCAGCUUCACAUUAUUGAUUGACUCACUAAAGCUGUUCCAGAGGGCAUCGAAUGUAUCAGUUCCCCUACAGUGAUGGAAUAUAUCAGAUCCUAAGUGACGCCAAUACCGAAAAAGGUAAACAUUAGUUAAUCCACUAUCUCAAAGAAAGGGAAACAUACUUUCCAGUGGUAUGUAUCUCUAUUGCAUCAACAUCAUUCCUUUUCAACAGUUCAGAAGUGGUAAUCGGAUCUCGAACAUAGGACACAGCUCCUGAAAUGAUUUCAGGCAAAGCUUGCAUCAUCUAUCACAAGGGUGCAGGAGGGAUCAGAUUCAAAAAUACAGUGAAGUUUGACAUAUGCAAGUUAUGAAGGCAAUUUGCACAAAGGUAUAGCUAACCUAGUCUGGCGAUGAUAAAAGAACUUGGAUGGAAGAUAAAUGGUGCUCACUUAUUCUGUCAUAAGGGCAAACUGGUAAGCAUCGUCCACAUCCAUAGCACCGCUCUGUAAGAACACCACCCUGCACAAGGCAGAACUCAUGUAAAAAAACUGAAGCUCGUGAAGAGAAUCAACAUGAGCAGAAGAAAAUAACCAAACCAAUUGAUACCUUAAGUUUACCAUGUAAGGGAUCAGAUCGAGUGUGCUCUCCUCCAACCAUGAUGCUCUCAAGUGAAAUUGCAUCAGCAGGACAAACUUUCUCACAUGGCUUUGAGCAAUCCGGUGGGCAAUCCUCAGGAUCAAAUUCUGUAGGAUAGACAAGUUUAUUCAGAUGCGAAAAAAGUUUCAGUAGUUAACAGGUCUAAACUAAAUACAGGGAAAAUAAUGCUAGUGAAAGCAGGAAACUAAUUGCAAUUCCCAAAUGACAGCAAUCAAAUCGACACCAAAAGAAAAAAAAUUGAAGUGACAUGAAUGAUAUUUCAAUAGAUAAUUUUCACUGCAGCAUGUCAUUACCAGCUUUACGGAAAUGAAGGUCCCUGCAAUCAUCGUUAACACUAACCAUCACCCAUGGCCUUUGAACUGCUGGUAUGAUUGAGGCUGCUACGUCAAUACCCUCAUUUACUGCACCCACCACAGAUGCAUCUGCUGCACAAUCAAUGCAAUCCACUGCAUCCACAAAACUAUGCAUGAUUCGUAAGAGUACACAAUCAGAUUUUGUUUGUUAAAAUGGUGAAAUCACUGGAGUGCACUUUAAAGAAAAUCAUUUACCUAGCAGAAUAUGCUUCCAACACAACAAUUUGUUGGUCAUCUAACCACUAUCAAAUCAGACUUUGUUAGCACAUUCAAUUUUUCAUUUUGUUUGUGGUUGUUCAAUAUAAGGUCAAACUACAAUACAAGUAAUUCAAAUCUGAAUUCUUGACAGACUGAAAGUAGAAGAAAAAAAACUGAGUAACAAUGAAAUUGUCACGGUGUCAAUCUAAAAUGCUAUUUGCUACAUAUCCACUCUAAAUGGAUGUUUUCAUCAGUUGAAUCAACAUACGUACCUCCAGCAAGCGUGUAGACAAGGGAGAGGUUCCUGACAUCAGCAGCAUCCUGCAUAAGCAAUGCACGUGUAAGCAACCUGAGAAUCAUAUUGCCGUCAGUCAGUAAUUCUUCUCCCGUUUUACAUAUACAUUGCCGCCACUGCUGCUCUCGUUGUGCUAGCACACCAAAUUAGUGUCCCUGGACCUGGAGGCACCAAAGGUACCAACUACAGCCGUGAGUCGGCUUCCACAGGUGCAACCCAAUUCAAUUCUCCAUUUUUCCUUUUAAGCUUAAGCCAAAACCAGCACAACUGCACAAGCGCAGGACCCUUCCCCCCCUGCCUUUCACCACCUGUUGGAGAUGAAGCAUUCGCUGCUCUACCAGUCCAUUCCACCCAACUGUGCAUACGCACUCACUAGUCCCGGAGCUCAAUCUAGCUAGGGGUGCAGCAGCGAGGUGGAAAGCGCACGGUACCUCGAAGCUGGCGCCGCAGAUGAGCUUGACCCAGUCGCCGCGCCGGAGGGCCGCGACCUGCGGCGGGUGGUCGCCAGCGAGGCGGGCGCCGCGGAAGCGGGAAACGUCGGACGCCGUGGCCCGGACGGCCGCGUGGGAGGCGAGGAGAGGCGGCGGCGGGGCCGGGACGGCGGCCAUGGCUAUGGCUUCUUCUCGCGCGGCCACAGCGGCGGUGUGGAAGAAGGAAGUGGGAAUGGGAAAUAUCCGGUUCCCCAAGUCCGUUCCGUUCCCGUGGGUGCAGAAACGGUCCACGUCCGUCCAUCUGAGAUCAACGGUGGGUGCCUAGCUUAGCCGUGAUUCUGAGGCCGUUCGAGACUCGAGUUAUCUGAGUGGGCUCUAGUGGGCCACAGACCGCGGGGAACCCAUCACGCCGUCAGCCCACCACAGUCUUUGGACCUGUUUAGCCGAGGGCACUGAGCCCACAGUACGGCACUCGUUCAGGCAUGCAUGUGCGUUGAACCCCCAAAUCAUGGAUGUUUACAUGUGCUAGAUUGGGCUAACCAAUUCACGCGUACGGUACGGGACCGGGGAAACCACACAGCUACUGUAGAUCAAAUCCAAGACUUCAGCACAAACUCAGCAAGUCAAUUUCGACUCACUUCCUACCUAAAACCUAAUUCAACAAACGCCGCCUUCAUGCAUGUGAGACGACCUCUGUUCUAGCCAGCCUUCAAGCAGGGUAGACUUAAUCUGCUAUCUACUUUAGUAGACGGUCUAAUUAGUCACUAUACGUACUUCCUUCGUCCCAAAUUAUAAGAUGUUUUGGAUCUUGUAGGUUCGUACCUUUUACUACGCAUCUAGAUAUAAUAUAUAUCAAGGUGCAUAGCAAAAUCUAUAAAUUAAAAGCUAAAAUAAUUUAUAAUUUGGGACGAAGGGAGUACUUAAUAAGUCUAGUCACAUGCCUAGCUUGCUAACAAACCAACACCUGGUUGCUCAUCGAUCAACCGCCGUCGUACACGCACAUGAAUGUUGAUGCGUUCAUCAACUUGAUCAACUAACUAACUGAAUAUACAUACAAUCUCUUUGUCCCUCAUCCGGGGGAUCUUCACGGAAAUUGCCUGAUUUCCGCGUGCCAACCACUAAUCUUGCACCGCAAAUCGCGGUGCCGACGAUCGACGGCCGGCACAUAUGACACGUGUCAAUUAAGCGCGCGCAUUACUGUUCCCAUUGAUAUCUGUCAAUAGCUAGGGAGAGGGGGAACAUGGCUAAGCUGCAAAUCAAGAGCCCCCAAAUCAUGGAGAUUUACAUGUGCAACGCAUCCCAUUUGUCCAUUAUCCGAGGCGUUUUAGUUGCGUCGAUCGUGAUCAGCUCCCCGCGGGGGAACAUGCUGGCACAUUACAACAUAAUCUAUAUUGUUUAUUUUAUAAUUAUGUCCUUAAUUGUAUAAUUCCUAACUAACACAUAUAUAUAAUAGGGAUGCCCAGCACCACAAUGGGAACAGUGAACACAUGCUGCAGGAGACCUUUUCUUCUUCACACAUGCAUGAGCAGAUGAGCUGAGGCGACUUUUCUUCUUUCUUUGCUGCACUUUUGCUGAGGUGGCAGCCUGCCAGAGGAGUGGGGCCGAUGACACGUCACACAUGCAUGCAUGGAGGGUAGCUAGCUUGCAUGGGAAUCAUGCAUGGCAUGGGAGAGUAGUAGAGGCGAUGACAGGCACAUUACAGGGUGUUGUGACGAGGAGAAUUGAAAGGGAAGCGAUCGGAGUGCAUGCAGAAAGAUGGAGGUGAGGUGUUGGCUGUUUAAGGAAUCAUGUGGUGGCAUGUGGCCUCGAGUUAGGAGAACAUGCAGUCAUGCACGCAUGCCCUCACCUCCAAGCAAAUUGCAAUGCAUCCCAACAUGGCUGCAUGAUCUGCUAAGAACUCUCAAUGUGUGUGUGCUCCAUGUCGUAGCCACAUGCACAUAUGAUCUACUCCCUCCCUUCCGAAUUACAGGUCGUUUUGAUUUUUUAAUAUAUUAUAUAUCCAGAUGUAUAAUAAUAUCUAUGAAUCUAGAAAACCUAAAAUGACCUAUAAUUUAGGAUGGAGGGAGUAGCAAGCUAUGUUGCAUAAUGCAAGGCUUUGUUUAUUUGAUUUGGUCAGUAAAAAGUUUAUUGUUCUUAAUUAUCCGGCUUUUGUCAUGCCAAUGCAUGACACCUAGCUUAUUCCUACACAUAUCUCUUCUUCCAGCCUGGCUCCGGCCAUCAUCUAUGAUCUGUCUAUAUAAACACCCCCUUGCGGCCUUGCCUCCCUCUCUCUUGCACACUUAGCCGCUAGCAUCAUCAUUUCAUCUCUAUCCAAACCUUCAUCUCCUCGAGCUAGUCCUCAUUAAUUAUCUCUCUACAGCUAGCCGCUGCAAUUUGCAACGAAGAUUAGCCAUGGUUGCUCACACAGGCAGCCGUCGUUGCAACUCUUCAACGACAUCGUCGACGGCAAGGCCAAGAACGAGGCCACCGACGUCCUCCGCCGCCGCCGCCAUGGCUUCCAAAAGGCCUUCGCCGCCGACGAACGGCAAGGCGAGGCAGGCCAUCAGCAGGCGACGCGAUACGGAGGUGGUCAGCAGGAAGAUGGAGGCGCUGAGGCGCCUCGUGCCGAGCGGCGGCGGCGACGAGGCCAACGAGCUGAGCUCGAUCCUCCUCCGCGCCGCCGGCUACAUCGCGCGGCUGCAGGCGCAGGUGACGGUCAUGCAGCUCAUGGUCGACGUGCUGGAGCACACCGAGGAUUAAUCAUCCCAUCCCAUCCCCUCUUGUUGAAUUGAUCAUCGGUCUGGAAUUCUGGAUGCAUGAUCGAUUAGGUUCUUGAGACACAUACAUGUACACACCAACAACAAUCGUAUACAAAUGAUGAUGUAUUCUUCUGUAACGGAUCGGACCUCCGUUCAUGUGCUUCUUCGGUUUUGUUUGAUGAGAUUUGCUUAGGGAGUAGAUUUUUGUGGUCAUUUUGGAACCGCGUAGGACCGGUUGGAUUUUAUACGGGCAGAGGAUUGGGAUUCGUUCGUUUUUUGUGCAUAUGCAUGUACGCCAUAUUGUUCGACACUUGUGUUACGGUUGCAGACAAACAGGUACUCCAACUUGAAUGGUUUGGCAUGUGUGCAUGAAGAGCUAAUGUGAACAACAUUUGGUUAAAGUAGUUCUCACGGCUUACCCUUCCUGUGUUUUAUAAUUUUUUUACUAAUUACUAUAUGAUUUUUCAUCACGGGCUUAGAAUCGGCCCGUUGCACCUUGUAAGGCUCGCGUACCACCUAGCUUUUGGGCCUUACAUAUGUGGUAAGUGAGACGCAUUAGGUCCACUAAGAACACGGUGGAUACUGCUGGAUCCUUUAUUUGCUCUUCUCACUCACCCGAUCGAGCUCCACAGAAUACAGAGGAAUUUGAGCUCCUCUCCUCAGUCCCCACAAAACAAUGCUGCUUAGUGAUGCAUUUUGCGUAGGCCUUUUAUACGUCUAAAUGUAAAUUCGUUUAUGCUAAAGUCAUAAGGGCACGUAUUGGUCUUCGCAGGAGAAUGAAUGCAGAACGUCAGCAGGCCGGGGUCCGAAUCGAAGGGUCUGCAGUCAACGAGCCAGAGAACUGGUCAACACCGCAACACGAAGACACAAGAAGUUCACGUUUCUUUUUUUCUGGAUCGAGCAGCAUUUGUCAGAACUCAGACGCUGCUGCUGGGAAACGUCUUCAGGUCAUAGAAUUCCUUUUAGUACCGGUUGGUAUAAACGAUCGUUAAUAAAUAUUCUUAUUUUUUUUCUAAUUCUUUAUUCUAUAUUAGUAUUUCGUAUUUAUUUCGUUUACGUAUAAUAGUUCUAACACGCUAAUAUAUAUAAAGUUGUAUUUAUCAAUAAUAUUACAUUUGAUAUAAUAUUAUAUAUAUAGACAUCUUCUGCAUUCACAUUUAUGAAUAAUAUUACAUUGCAUCAACCCUAACAUUAUUCAACACGUUGGACCUGGUAAAGCCGCACGAAGCAGCAGCACUAGAUCAUAGUCACCAUAGUUUUAGAAGUAACACAAGACAUUAGAACUCAACAGAAGUUCAGAGCAAUGCUCUUCCAGGAUAAUAUUGGGCACCAUAGAAAUUCAGCUAUCGCUGGAUAAUCAUGCAACCAAUAUUCUGUUGGCACUACUUAAAUCCUAAGCAUCCCUCGUGACUGAGUUUCCAACGAUCUACCAUCAAAGAUAAAUUAGCUACUACAUCUAUUACAUUUAGGCCCCGUUUGGAUCAUUGGAAUUGAAUUCCAUCCUAAUAAUCAUAAUUUAGACACAAAUUAAUUAAGCUAAUAUAAUGUAUGUGGAAUAUAGUUGUAUAUUAUAGUUGGUGAUAUGGGAGAGAUACUUGUAUGCUGCACUUCUACUAUAGAGAAGCGAGUCUAAGAGCGUGCUAUAAGAAUUGAAUUCCAUCUAAUAACCAUAAUCUAUAGAAUCAAUUUCCAUCUCCCACCCCAUGAAUUUAAGAUAGGCUUAUAUCUAAACUUUGGAAAGUUGUGGAAUGCCACAUUCCAACAUAAAUUAGCCUACUCCAUUAAAUAGAUUCCAAUUCCUUGGACCCAAACGGGGCCUUAGAGUUUUCCCAAAAGAAACUACUACUACUUAGCCAAUCCCAGCUGGGAAAACCUUGUAGAUUGCCUUCCUCCACUAGUCAUUCCUGCAGACUCCUGAUGUUGUCCUCUCAAAAAGAAGCUGUUUCCAUUUCUGCACAAAUGAUACAAUUAUGUGAGUAACAUAUUUUUUUUAUCUUGUGGAUAACAUCUCCUGGGCACAGUAAAAUUCUUAUUUGAAAAAACAUCCUAGGAAGCCAAAGAACCCACACUAUCCCCACAAAGAAAAUCUUCAUGUUAUUGUUCUUAACUAAAACUAGGUGGAUACCCCGCGCGUUGCUGUGGGAAUUCAAAAGGUGAUAUUUUAUGAAAAACAAAUAAAUUAAUCAUGACACAUGAAGUGAAAUUUUUUGAAGAAAAUGUUAGGGUAGGAAGUGUGGAAGACAUUAUAUAUAAUAUGCACAGUAACAUACAUCACACAACCGCACAGGAGUAGUCCCAUACAUGCUAAAAAAACUCGUAUAGGGAUGUGAGAGUCCAAGAGUCUGAGAGCAAGUAGAAAUCGAGAUGAUGUUUCUCAUCAAACAGGAUAAAGGGAGUGACAAAAGAAAAACUAUUUAGCUACUAUACAAUGUAUAUGAUUUAUGUCAGAGGUUCAUGUCAGCAGAAACUAAAAUAAACACCGGAUAAAAAGCAAGUAAUAUUUUAAAAAUAAAUCAUCUUCCUAAAAAUUAACAAAAUUGUAUAUAGGAUGGGGUUCAGCAAGAAUUGAGAGGAAGCUUUGUUUGAAAUUGAGGAUGACAAAAGUCUGUGAUGCAUGCCUGGAUGCCGGCUGCUAUGAUAUUUUACUGAAAAUGAUCCGCCUCUUGAGCCUUGAUCAUUUGCUUCUGUCAUCUCGGAACGGAUGGUACCAACAAUCAAGUAAGACCAUCGAUACAAAGUAGGAAUUGAUGGUCGCAUGGAAAUCAAAUUCUCAACAAUGAUUGAAGAGGUGAAAAUGGACUGCCUAGCAACAUAGCAGUAUAUAUACGCUAGCUUAGGAGCGGUAAAUAAAGUAUAUGCGAGUGGAGAAUAAUCGCAAUCGGCCUCUUCAAUCUUUGAUUGCUGGGCAGUCGGUGUAGUUAAUGCUCCAUGGAAUGGGCGCACGGUGGUGGCUGGUGAAGUUACACGGACUUCUGUUUCUAUCGGCUCGAUGGAAGAAGUACUCAACUCUACUGUAACCGUAGAAGUAGGGACGGCCGGUGGUGAAGCAGAUGACGUGGUGCAACAAAAUUUCAGAUAAAUAUGAUAGUGGGGUUUGUCUUUAUAGGAGUUAUAGAUGUUAUUGAAAUCCUUAACAUGGUCAUGGGUGGUCCGUGAUUUCUUGACAUGCAGUUGUUCUACUGUUUUCCAGGAUUUCAUUAGUUGCUAUUGUAUUACAUUUCUAGCAGUGAAAUAAUGAUAUAGCACAGGUUCAAGAAACCAUGAUAUAACAACAUAUAUAGCAGUGAAAUAAUGAUAUAGCACAGGUUUAAGAACUGGACCUUCACUUCAUGCUCAAGUUCUUCACCAUAUCCUCCAAAGAGCCCUGAAGUUCUUGUUUCUGCUCAUUGUAUUCAUCAACCUCUUUUUUCAAGGCCUGCACUCUUUCUCGCAAUUCCAGCACACUAUCUCGCAAGUCACCGACCAUAUUCGUGACAAACUGAGAGAAGGGAGGAUCAUACCAUUCCGAUAAUCCACAACCAUUGCUGCCAACCUAAAUAAAUGCAAACAAAAAGACUUAGCAGAUUAGACCCAAAACAAAAGAAGAAAAUCGUAAAAAAUAAAUGGAAUUGCUGUCAUGAAAACUUACCAUGCAACUGUAGAACCUCCUCCCCGGGAAAUAACGCUACGAAAUGAAUCUUCCCAUCUUCACUCCGCAUCGGCAUAAAACGGCCGGCUCGUACUCCAAAGGACCCUCGCGGUACCGCACCGGCGACUCCCCAAAAGGCCGCUCAAGAACAUGUUCCGGCGGCGGCUGGAAAGGCCCACUCGGGACGUGCACAGCCGGCUCCAGCGCAAUCGUCCAGUUCGCCAUGCCCUCCUGCGAAGACUGUGACCGGAAGGUCACCGGCGACCGAGGCUGGAAGGAAAUCAUGUCCCGGGCUGGUAAAAUCACAGGUGCCGGGUUGGUAAAAUCUAUGUCCCGGGCUGGUAAAAUCUGAACUUAAGGGACAUACAUUUUACCAGCCUGGGACAUCGAUUUUACCAGCCUAGGACAUAUAUUUUACCAGCCUGGGGGACAUGAUUUUACCAGUCCGGCACAUGUGAUUUUACCAUUUUACCAGCCCUGCUUAGAACUGUAGAUUAAAAUUGUAGAUUAAAAAUUUAAAAGUGAAGAAGACCAAGACAAUGUCAUCAUUUCAUUGUCCUGCUCGGGCACCUAUUUUGUAACCAAAGUUACUAAGCAGUUUAAGCGAAUCUUUUCUAUAACCCGAUACACUGUGGAAAAUAAUAAUCCUUUUAUUGUUUUGUUGUUUUCUCUCUAUAAACAACUUUGAAAUGUCCAACUCGCAUGUGUACCUCAUUCAAGUUUGUGAUUAAUAUAAGAGGUAAGGAUGCACCUAAUACCUUUAAUUAGGUACUUAUUUUUUCGAAUCGAGGGAGACCCCAUUUCCAUUAUACGAAACGGAAAUACAGUGUAGCAAGUGUUUAAAGAGCAAGAAAGGAACAGAGCUAGUAAAGUAUCACACCCUACGCUGCCUGCCACCUACAUGGUAAAGCUAGCAACAGCGAUCAGAAAACUAGCAACUUCAGACAAAAUACAACCACCAGAUAACGCAACAGUUGUUUAUGUCAAAACAUCAGCUGACUAAUUUGACCUAGCAGACGGCCUGGAGAACCGAGUUUUUUUUUAUUUUGGCUCUUUUCGCGAAUUUUUUCACAAAUAGGCUUCUGGCAAAAACCAAUUCUAAAAAUGGACCCUUAGCUUGGCGCCAGGAUGGCUGACGCCAAGGUAUAACGUCUUGGCGCCAGUCUCCAUGGCGCCAAGGUCCCCCCACCGCGCCUCUGACGUGGCGUCGGCCCUCUGACGUGGCACCAAGGCUUGGCGCCAAGCCUUGGCGCCAUAGAUCUUGGCGUCAAGCCUUGGUGCCAGCCUCCUUGGCGCCAAACCUCCUUACAUAAACCGCCGGCCCUUCUUCCUGCCCGAGAGUUCCUCCUCAUUCUUCUUCACUCUCUCGGGUUUUUACUCUCCCUACUUCACCCUAGACUACGAAUCGACAUUGUAGCUUAGGAAACUUUCAUUUGAUCCGUGGAUCCUAAAGAGCAAGGUAUUCUCUCUCCCUCGUACCUUUUUUCACAUCGAUUCGCUAUAUAUUUGUUGCAUUUUUGAACUUAGAGUUUCAUGCUAAUGUAGGAUGCCGAGGCGUGGAAAAGCUAAGAAACUAAGGUAACCUCAGCGCACGUAGUUAUGUUAUAUGCUCAUUGUUGUGGAUCAAAUGAAAAAACCUUAAUUGUAGAUUUAUUGUUAAGUGCGUUUGAUUCUUAGAAUGAAAUAAACUAAAUUGUAGUUAUGGUGCCAAGAUGACCAGAAAUGCCUUCAAUUCAUUGCCUCUGCCUAGUGGUGUUCCAGUACCUAUGUGCUUUUGCAGCGAUCCUUGCAAGGUAGCCAAGUCCGAUGAACAUGCCACGUAUAUGCAGAGGUAUUGGAUGUGUUUUAACUUUGCGUUUGAACCUACACUUCGUCAGCGCCGCAUUAACAUGUUGGUAAGGAAUUGUUGUUCUCUUAUAAUUAUUGACCAUAAUUUUUUUAUUUUACAACAAUUACAUUUGUUGUAGACCCCUCCAUCGCUAUGUGAUUUUGAGCAGUGGAUCGACACUGAGAUCAAUCCUGAAGACAAGGAGUUUUUGGAGUAUAUGAUGCGCUGGGAUGCAAAGAGGAAGGAGGUGUACGAGAAGAGGCUCAGAGUGGAGGCUGCGGAAAAGGAGCACAAGGAAGAGGAGGAAAGGAGGCGGGUUGCUGCGAACAAGGAGGAGAGGGAGAAGAAGCUUGAGCGUGCACGCCGAGCGAAAGCAGUGGUUGAGGAGAAUCCCGAUGCCUUAAGGAAGGGAAAGUGGCCUCAUUGUACUCAGUAGUUAUAAUUAGGUUAUAGUUCUAUGGUUUAUUUAUGAACAAUAUUUUCUAUUAUGAGACUUUUAUUAUGUUGUCAUGUAAUAAUACACUUUAAGUAUGGACACGCAAGUGGUAGACGACCUAUGUUUAUUUUGCGAUGUAAUGCACUUCGAAGUUGUACUCUAAUGAAAUUUCCGCAGAAAAUAAAAAGGGUGCUUGUUAGCGAAAUUUCGGCAGAAUUUCCCCUACUUUUUGAUGCAAUCCAUACAAAAUUACGAGAUGAAUAGUGAACAUAAAUACAAACAUACAAGCAUAUGACACAAGCAUAUGACACAUUCAUAAUAAAAUACACAAUAGUUCAGAAUGAAAGUCCAUAUAUACAAAUAAUCCAUAUAAUACAAAGUUCGCAAUAAGAACCAUCACUGCCUUCUAGUCUUACCCUUACCCUUGUGACCAAGGGCGUCGGUGCCUGGAGUGUAAGGAGAACGUGGGUAACGUAGUCCAGUGCUUACAACUUGUGUAGGCUGAGUCAAGGGAGCCUCGUGGAGCUGAGACGGGCCAAGCUCCUCAGGCCUCUGCUCAUCGUCGUCGUCGUCGUCUCAUCCUCGGAUGCAAUUGAUUUCGAACCUGAGGAGCCUUGGCUAGACGUACCGACGCCUCCUUCGCGUGGGGAUGGAACGUGCACGUCUCACAUCGUGGCAGUCCUGCAACCACAACGAGCAGCCGCACGACGAAACCGAUUUGACAGUCGCUGCAGUAGUAAAAAACUAGUUACACGAAAGAAUGUAACGUAUUAAUAAAGUAUUAGAAAGAAUAAUUUGAGUCUUACGUCUAGAAAGCUCCGCAUCUCGGGAUCCGUAACUCUAGGACGGAAAUGCUCAAUAUCUCUAACCGAGCUUUGGAGGGUACGGCCCUGCAACAAAUUACUAAGUCACUAAAGCAAUAAAUGAUUAAGUUAUUAACUUACUUACACACUAAGUCACUAAAUGACUAAAUGAUUAAGUCAGAUGGUCACUAAGUCCUUAUCUAACUAACUAAAUCUCUAAGUAACUUAACAUAGAACAUAGAAAAGUGAAGCAAUUAUCCUACCAUCCUAUCCAGAAUUGGUCCUGCCUCCACCUGUCUUCCAGCACGAGUACUCUGAUCGUACACCGUGUCUUCAUCGUCGGAUGAGUGAAUGUCAGCGUAGUCAUCUUCCGUCCACGCUGCCCUCAGCCUGUGACGCGUCGCACCUUGGUACCAAGUCUGGUAUUGCCUAUACUCACUGCUUGUAUGCAGCUCAUUGUUGUCGUCCACGUUAUCGUGGAAGUCCUCCCAAUCGUCAAUGUACGCCUGGUGGAACGCGGCCCACUCAGAGACCUUCCGUUUCUUCUUACGAUCCACGCUGCACGUCACGUUACAUGUUACUGCUAGGCAAAAUUUAGUUAAUGAUAUUGAAAUAAUUCAAAUAGGAAAAGACUUACCUGUGUAACUCCACACUAGUCGAGGUCGCCGGUGUUGGCCAAAUCUGCCUCAUCCCAAACUGACGUGCUACUCGAUCUGGCAGGUGGUACUCGACAGCAUAGAAACAUAUGAGAGGGCACUUCAUCAUGUAAAGAUCGUCGUCCAACCCACACAUGAAGCUAACGGUAAAAGGAAGUGCGUCCUCUCCUUCGUAAGGCUGCCGAUUUACCUGUAACAUGUCAAAACAAGAUGUUAGUUGUUAUACUAAACGAUUACAAAGCAUGUUAAAAAAAAUUAACUUACACUAUGAGCCGUGAGCGCGUCUAUCUCGUUGAUGUAAUCCAGGUACGCGCGGUCCAACCUCGUAUGGCUAACUUUAACCUGAUCCCAAAGAUAUGCCCAUGUCGGCUGCCGUCUCGGCAUCUCACCUGGGAAGCACGGUCGCCGCGGCAUAAUCUUGGGACGACCAACAGCAAGACGGGCCCACAUCCAUAACUGCAAUAGGUAGACACACCCACCAACUGACGCGGAGUCCGAAGUCCGACGGCACGCCUCGCACAGCUACCGGUAUAGAAAACACAGCACAGCUGAUCCCCAACUAUAAAGACCCGCCUGAUGCCAGUCAGUGAGGCAGUGGAUACACAUCCAAGACGCAGUGUCACAUCAUCAACAAUCCGACAACCAUGUCCAACUACUUUAUUAGGGGGCAGAUUCAGCAUCGGGAAUAGUAGGUGCAACACCACAUCCAUAACAGGUUCUGGGACGGGAGGAUCGAAGUGUGCCCGUUAACCCAUUGGUCGGGAAACCGACGAGAAUUUGGAUUAACUCCCACCCGACGAACAACCACUUCAACACUUGGGAAAUGACCAUUCAUAACCGUCCUCACAUAUUUUUCCUACUGGCCUGCACACCGAAUUGGGACCAUCUUCCUUUGAAUGUUGAGAGGGGAACCUAGGUGAAGUAUGACCUCAACUGUGAUUUCAUCAUCUUCAUGACAAUGUAACUCCUCCCGAGGCCUUACAAGCAACUCACUAAACGACUAUUUCUCAUCAAAUAUGACAACCUCGCACUGCAUGGUAACAAACUUAAUACAUCCAUAUUCAUCCCUUUCCACAGUGCCUCCGUGAUAUAUACUCACUACAUUCUCCAUCUAGUAUAUCAAUAUAACGACACACAGUUCAUUUAGUCCAUAAUAAAUCAAACAUUCUAAGUACAAGGUCUCUAAUAUGAAAUAAGAUAGGAUCAAUUGACUACUAACUACUAAAUACAACUAACUAACUAUGCCAUACAACUAACUAACUAUGUCACCUAAUAUGUACCUAUGUACUUAACUAUAUAACUACUUAACUAAAUAACUAGUUUACUAUGUAACUAACUAUACAUCUAACUACGUAAACAAAAUUGGACAUACAUCUAGUUAAAUAGUGUCAUGAGUAUCCUCUAAUCUUUCUAUCAUUGCAAUUCAUAAAGAUAAACUUUCAUAUCUAACAAUUCUACCUAACUAUUCUAAUUUACGUAUCUAACUAUUUCAUCUACCAAUUCUACCUACCUAUCUAAAUUCUAACUACCAAUCUAAUUCUAAUUUAUCUAUCUAACUAUUUUAUCUACCAAUUCUACCUUCUUUAUCUAUCUAGUUAACUAUAACUCUUCUUAGAGUUUUACCUCACUGGUGAACACCGGCGGCAAGGCGUGGUGGCGAGCAACGAGCGGGGUCAGGCGACCUCCGACCGUGGGCCACCGGUGGGGGCGGCUGCGGGCGCCCGGCUGGGGGGCGGGCGGCCUCCGGACGGGGGCGGGCGCGCAGCGGCCGCGGGGGGCGCCGGGCCGGGUGGCUCCGGGCGCCGCCGGCCUUCGGUGGCGCGGGCAAGGGCCAGCUCCAGGCGAUCGGGCGCGCGGCUUCGGGUGGGCGGGCGCCGAGCGGGGCCGGCCGGCCUCCGAGCGGCGACGGCGCCGGCAGCGGCGGACUCCGAGGGCGGCGGCGGCGGCGGCGGCGGUCUCCGAGGGUGGCGGCGGCAGCGGCGGUCUCCGAGGGUGGCGGCGGUGCGAUUUGAAAUGACUCCGAAUGGAAACGGACGCGCAAAAGGAAAGGAACCCGGUGUUGUGGUAAAAAGCUUGGCGCCAGUGGCGCCAGGGAGGCUGGCGCCAAGGCUUGGCGUCAUAGAUCUUGGCGCGAAGGCUUGGCACCACGUCAGAGGGCCGGCGCCACGUUGGAGGCGCGGUGGGGGGACCUUGGCGCCAUGGAGGCUAGCGCCAAGACGUUAUACCUUGGCUGUAGUCAUCCUGGCGUCAAGCUAAGGAUCCAUUUUUGGAAUUGGUUUCGCCAGGGGUCUAUUUGUGAAAAAUUUUCACGAAAAGGGCCAAAAUAAAAUUUUUCGCCAGGGGCCACAAUAAGUUUUCACUCAUUAAUUAGACCCUACUAGUUGAAAAACAAAAAAUAAUUAGCGGUGUAUGCAAAGGGUUAAAUUGGCGGGCUAAAAAUAUGCACAGAAUGGAAAGAAAUAGAAAUGAUUCAAUCAAACAUUGGAAUCUCCGCAUACAAAGUUAACUUUGCACGGCAUUUCACUCGGUAAGUACAUCACUAACCUUUUUUUUUUCCUAUGCCAUCCAAUCCGAGUAAGGCUCCAGAGAACUAAUGGUAAAAGCAAUCAAUCAAUCUAAGAGCAGUAUUUUUAUUAAUUAGGAUGGGUUUCGGUGCUUUGUCAAAGAUAGAAACAAAAAGUAGAAACCACGCACCGCAAUCUCAGGAGUGGCCACGGCUAUCCUUCCAUCUGCAGGCUUCGUCUUCCUCCUGCUUUUCAUUCAGAUUAAUUGAUUCAGAUGUGCUACAGUUCUCUGUCAAAGAAUGAAACAAGGAAGCAGGAACGCCAACACCAUACCACAUUCUCAGGGGUGACCGUGACCGUCUGCCGUCAGGAGGCUUCUUCGUCCACCUGCUCACAGUGUUUACUCAAAAUCUCUUCGUUGCAAGCUGACAGCAUAGCGCAGGAAACAAAUCAGACCGCAACUGAAGGAAGCGUGCAUAUGUAUAUCAUGUUCUAGGGCCUGGUAUAGUGGCAUGGCAAUGGCAGCACAUGUUCUUGGCCAUUAAUGUUAUUAUGACAAGCUGAGACAGUGACAUAUCCUUUGCCUUGUAUUGCAUGAAAAUACUUUAGAGGUCCUAAGAAUACUUGUGUGCAAACUUGCAAUCAGACAAUAGGAUAGUACAAAAAUCCAUACACAAAAACUUAGAUACAAGAUGGCACUAAAAUUUUCACCUAUCAAAUAAUUUACUGCUUGAACCACCAUUUUUAUGAAUGGUAAUGUCAACUUGUAGUGAAUGCAGAGGAAAUCCAGUAUCGGGGAAUCAGCAGUUAAUGGAUUAUAUAUACUUGAUAUCAGAAUCAAGUUGGAGAUAUUUCUGAAGAUCUUUCAGUUUCAUGACUUGUGAAGUAAAAUCAUACUAUUGCCGACUUAGAGUUAUAAUACCUAAUCAAUCAAUGGAUUUAUACAGAUGCUUUUCUUCCUCGUUUCUCCCUCUUUCCUGUCAUUUCCAUCUUGGUUUUGUUUUAAUAAAGUAACACGGUAGGGGAACGCACUGUAUUUCCCUCAAAAAUACGUAGUAUCAAACUAUUGCGGCCAUACAAGGCUUGAUUCUAACAUUACGGUUCAGGCUAACAUAAGCUAAGUCAUAAACAGGAGAAUGGGUCCAAUCCAACAGGAGGCAAGCAAAAGGGACAGGGGCAGGGGGUCCUUACGGUGGCGGCGGCGGCGCUCUCGGCGAAGCGGCCAACGGCGGCGACCGGCGGCGCGAUGGACCUUGUAUAGCUCACCACGGGCCGGCCCGCCCAGCGAGAGAUCCACUCGCCGGCCCGCCCAGCGAAGGGCGGCGAGAGAUCCGGUGCAGCCCACACGCCAGUGGCAGUCACGGCCGGGGCGGCGCUCUUCGUCCUUGAUGCGCGCGUGCUUGUUGGCAAAAGAUGGCGAGCGAGAAUGGAAGCGGGUGAAGGGGAUCGAGGUGAUUGCCGGCGGCCAGCAGGGUACUCCUUGCUACCUGCUAGAGCGAGAAUAGUUGGGGGCGGAGGUGGGGGAGAGAGCGAGGGGCCCGCCACUGGGCUCACGCCUGCUUGCUGGACUGGAGGUAGGAGGUGGCUGGCGAGAGAGAAGCGAGAAGAACGAAGGGUUUGUAAUGGCGAUGCAGAGGUGAAAGGCUGGCUUCUUGUGGCCUUGCGGGUGGCUGCCUGUAUAGCCAAUGACAUCUGGGGCUCAUAUAUGAGGUGGCCCAACGUCAGGGACUGUCCAAGUCCUUCAAUUCUAGUACUCGGUGUGUUUUGGUGUGCACUGUGCAGAAUACGGUGUAGUUCCCUUUAUUAAAAUUUUUGACCGGCUUGGUUUCGCUGUUUUUGGAAGAAAAAAAAACUGCCUUCACUGUAUCACCUUUGACCUUUCACCUGCCAAUUACCCUUGAACUGACCGGUCGGUCGAGCUGCAUGCAAGCUUUGACGUCGAUGUCUCAGGCAGUCUAGCCCGCAGCAGCUUUCGGCCCCCUUUCCUCCCCGCCACCCACCACCAGCCGGCCUGACUGACACUCACCACACACCAUAAUCCGAGGAGAUGACUCCGCUCGCUCUCGGGCGAUGAGACGAGUACUCCAUUGCAUCGGAUUGGAACCUCCUUCUCCCGGAUUAUUUCAGUGAGUCCGUGACACCUUGGCUUGGUUGGGCAGGAAGGCUGCCGCCACGGAGGCUUCUCGUUUUUUUAGAAAAUGGAAUCCGGCCUCUGCGAUAGGGAGCUGCAGCUGCUGUGCAAUUUUUUAUUGUACCUAUUAGCUUUAAUACAUUCGUCUCGCGAAUUAGCAUAAGGUUCUGCAAUUAGUUUUAUAAUUAGCUUAUAUUUAUUAGCAUCCGAACAUCCAAUGUGACACUAUUAAAAUUUAUCACCUCAUAUCCAAACACCCCUAAAACCUCAUCGCUUGCAGUAGCUGUGCAUUUUUUAAGGGUUGCUGUCGCACGUAGACUCAGCCAUGCUAGGUAAGACAAGACAAGGUUGGAAGCCCGCCAAAUCCAUGUACUAAUUGAUAUGGGUUAGUGUUGUUAACCAAAGCUUAAGAAAAAAAUUUACAAAUUUGAAAGUCCAUUUAAUUUGUCUCAUGUCCUAAUCAAUCCCGUCUUUGCAGCAUGCACAACAUCAGAAGCAUUCCGGUGGAUCAAUCGCCUUUGGACAAGAGCAUGCAUCGGCUUGAAGUUUGGUGGAUAGGCGUCGUACUACUCAUCGUCGUACCUUUUGGCGCUAAACUAGCAGCUCUGCAUUGUCACCAACCUUUACUUUAUUAUUUGAUAAAAAUGCAUGCAAUCUCGAUCGCUCCAACGCAGCGUGAAUGCAUGGGCGAAUAGUUGUGUUCUUUGAUACGAUAGGUGUGUUUAGUUGGAGGAACAAGGGAACGUGAUAAGGUCAUUCUUUUUUUUAGGAUGAGAUGAUCCCACCUACUCCCUCUAUCCUUUAGUAUGUGUUGUGGGAAGCAUGUUAUGAGGAGGGCAAGCCCCGGUGAACGACAGAUAAAAAGGGAUGAAGGGAGUAAAUAUUUUGUUGUAGGAAAAUGGACGUCCUAGUUCGUUGUUUGGAGAGACAGAGAUGGUCCAUUAUUAAUAGUGUUUGCAUCCAGUUAGUAGUAGGGUCCAACUGUCAGCCGCAGAAGGCUAUGCAGAGGACCUCCAUGCCAUCCGCGCGUGCUUGCCUCUACCUCGCUGUCGGCCGGCUGCGCACCAUCCCCGGCCUGCUUCGCCCUGGCUAGCUCGUCGGACGGCUGCGCACCAUCUCUGCCCUACUUCGUCGCCAGUUGCGCACCAUCUGCCGCUCACUUGCCCCAGCUAGUGCAGCUCCGCCCUGAUCAGCUCUGCCACGCGCUUGGUUCUGGCUAGCUCCGGCCCAAUUUCGGCGACACCAGGAUGGAGGGCGGGAGGAGGCGUCGGCGGCGGGCGUGGCUGGAGGAGCGGGAGAAGACGUCGGGCCUGGCUGGAGGAGCGGGAGAGGCGGGGCCGGUUGGUGCACGCAAGGAGGAACCGAAGGGGCGGACGGGCACGAGGAGAUGGAGGGAGAUGCCAUGCACGGAAAUGGAUCCAUCCGCUAGUUUUGGAGGGACCGAGCCGUUCCUCUUUUCUGAGGAACAGUCCUCUUUGAUAUUGUCCCAUCUAACCUAUUUCUUCAACCAAACACAUGUAAAAUUAGGAUGAUCUUAUCCCAUCCCAUCCCUCCAUCCAAACACACGUCUCGUCCAAUCUAUUUCUUCAACCAAACACGUACAAAAUUAUGAUGAUCCCAUCCCAUCCUAUCCCUCUAUCAAACACACCUAUAGCUAGCAACAUAGCAAACGAAAUGUGGCAUUGUGGCAACCAUAGUGAUCGCCAUGCAAUCAAACUUCUCGGAUUUUUUUAUCCGCCUCGCCGUGAGGCUGGAACGGAUCCCUGGCUCGGAUUCCAUCGGAGACCACAGACCAGACCAUUCAAGGCUUCAUAGAUCCGUACGUGCUACGGCCUCGCCGGGCAAGCGGGCAGGGAAACCUCACAUCGUUCAGAGUGUUUGCAGCACGCAGGGGCACAUAUCGGUAGCAGCGGUGCCAUCCCUUCAUGGUCGGGGCCACGGGGACACUGCGUUUUCUACUCUUGAAACGAAAGAAAGAAAGGCACCGCCUUUACCCGGCGCAUUCGACCACCCUGUGUAUAAUUCCAAAUGGCGAAGGCUACAAUUCAUUCAUUCUAUCAAGCAGGGUUUUUUUUUAAAGGAAAACGCUAUCAAGAAAUGAUGUGAGGUUUACCGAUCGAGCUGGCACUGGUUCGAUGACAUGCUUGGAGCAUUUGUGAGACAAAUGAAGCAUCCAAGACAAUGUCGUUGUGUUUCGAGCUUGCUGCUUCCGCGUUCCGCCACAAAUGCCGUCAACGUGAGCUCUGCUGUAUGCGCCCGUACCGCACCUCGGCGAAGAACGAGAUUACAUGGCGUGGCUAGGGAGAGGGCCAAGAAAAAAAAAUCAUGGCGGGCUUAACUGGUGAAUGCGUUACCCAGGUGUGUUACCAUGUAAACUAACUACUGCAUGCGAUGUUGAGUGGUGAUGCUCGCUGUGGCCACGGCCGCCAGGAGCUUCUCUGUUUUGCUGUUUUCUGCAAGGAAUCAGAGAAAUGACCUUUCAAGCAACAUGCGAGCUUGAUUUCAGUUAAUGGUGGAUGUGGAUCCUCUGUCCUCUGAUGACCUCUUGCUCACCUCCAAUUUUAUUUUCAUAAUUUCAGUUGUCUUGUGUCUGAUCACUGCUAUCUAGAGGCACUCAGCUGCUGCCCAAUCUUUUGAGUGGUGUUUUCCACAUCGCUUUGCUUGCUUCAAAUAGUUUACUGUAUAGUUCACUCCUGCUCUUUAAUUUACACUCGGUAUUUCAGUUUGCUUCAAGAGUUUUUCCAUAUAAUUUGGUUCCUUUUGUCCCGAGAAAAACUCGAGUAGUUUCUUUCGCGUUCACAUUCCAAUUUAUACAGCAAGCUUUAUUUCCAAGUACUUGAUGAGCAUGUAUAUAUGUUGCAAUUUCUUCUCAAUGCUGAAGUUUAUAAUACAUUCAUGAUUUCUUCAGCUUUUUUAAAGAAAGAAUUAGCACAACCUUUUCUACUUCUCUUGUAUUUCUCUAUCAAGAUGAAUGGAUUCAAAUCAAUUGAAAAUUUUAAGAUAUUAAACACAAACAACCUGUAAGAAGCUGAGGCACUUAGAGAAAUAACAAAUGUUUUGCCGUCCCCAUGUCCCCCCCUUGGCAGCAUGGGGAUGUCAAAAGGAAAGGGAUGGAGUUUUUCUCGCUUUUGGCGUAGCAGGCCUCCCUUUGGGAGGCCCGCGUGACAGGCUAUUAGCUCAGUGGUAGAGCGCGCACCUGAUAAUUGCAUCAUUGUACCUGGGCUGUGAGGGCUCUCAGCCACAUGGAUAGUUCAAUGUGCUCAUCAGCGCCUGACCCGAAGAUGUGGAUCAUCCAAGGCACAUUAGCAUGGCGUACUCCUCCUGUUUGAAUCAGAGUUUGAAACCAAACAAACUUCUCCUCGGGAGGAUAAAUGGGGUGAUUCAGGUGACAUCCCAUGUAGAUCUAACUUUCUAUUCACUCGUGGGAUCUGGGCGGUCCAGGGGGUGGGUGGCACCGCGGCUCCUCUCUUCUCGAGAAUCCAUACAUCCCUUGUCAGUGUAUAGAGAGCUAUCUCUCGAGCACAGGUUGAGGUUCGUCCUCAAUGGGAAAAUGGAGCACCUAACAACGCAUCUUCACAGACCAAGAACUACGAGAUCACCCUUUCAUUCUGGGGUGACAGAGGGAUCGUACCAUUCGAGCCUUUUUUUUCCAUGCUUUUCCCGACGGUCUGGAGAAAGCAGUAAUCAAUAGAACUUCCCUAAUCAUCCCUUCCCAAAAGGAAGAAUGUGAAAUUCUUUUUCCUUUCUACAGGGAUCAGGAGAUUGGAUCUAGCCAUAAGAGGAAUGCUUGGUAUAAAUAAGCCACAUAAGAAAUAAGAACUUCUCUACUGGUAGUAGACCACUUCAAACAGGACCUGUUUGUUUUAAUUAAGUAAUUCGACACUAUGGGCCAGAUGUGCUAAUCGAUCAGUUGUUCUCUCCUCAUGGACCAGAUGUGCCUCGGGCGUCAGCCUCUCCUCAUGGACCAGACGUGCUAAUCGAUGAGUUGUCGGUGUGUGCGGGAUAAAGGUACGGGAGCUUCCACCUUCAAAAGAGCACCCGACUCUUGCGUAGCCAUUCCACAGUUGGAUCGACACUUGCUAUCGACCAGUAGCACAAGGAUGGUCAUCCAGACUCUUGCGCUACUAUCGACCAGUAGCGCCCAAUGAGAUGCCCAUUUUUCACUCAAGACUGGCCCUUUCCCAUGAUCCCAAGAUCAAUGGCGACAGGGUCAUUACCUUCUGGUGCAUCAAACAUUGUCUGCAUAUACAAAGCAGUUGUGAAGACAUGAAAUAAAACAUUAGACUGAACUUCCUUGAAGUACAGCUGAAACCGAGUUUCAAAUAGAUUAACAGUGAACCCCAAUUUUUACUGACUGAAAAGGUCAAAGCUAUUUAGAAAAUAAUUUACCAUCCUACAGCAGAGAGUAUGAUACUAUCAAAUUAUUAUGUGGCGAGAAAAUUAACUUACCUUGAACCAUGUGAAGGGUGUCUGUGUAUCAUCAUUCUGCAUGCUACUUCGAUUAGCAUAUCCUUGGUUCUCAGGAGAAUAGAUCCUUGAACAUUCACCUUUCAAAAGCAAUCUGCAAUUUGACCUUCGUGCUAGUCUAGUUUAUUUGGGGCCUGUAAAUAAAUAUUUACUCUAUUCUAUGAAACGGGCACUGAUUCGUUGUGGCCAAGCAGAAAGAUCGAUUAUUAAUUCCUUGUAAGCUUUGACGUUAUGGUCGAGCAGAAGAGACGAACAUCUGUAUGUGGCCUACAUGCUCCAAUUCAGCUUUUGAAUUGCACUGUAAAAGUCUAUACGCUCUUCAAUUCAUCUUGUAAAAUUAGGCUAAAUAUACAAAAAAAAUAUCUAUAUAUGUAUAUGUUUAUGCUCGCUGGUCUUCCUAACCGGACGCACAAGCCGACGCGACCUCAUGCAGUCUUUUGGCUCUUUGCAGUGCACUGGGAGCAGGCAGUCGUGCUCGAUCGAUCACCUCGUCGGGCGGGGGCAUGCACAUGCAUGUGGCCCUGCUGGCGGUGGCCCGCCGGCCGCCCAAGCUCACCUACCCGCGCAGCUGCUCGGCCAUACCACGAGGUGCUUCUGAUCGCCUCGCCUCGGCGUGCAGGGACAGGGAUGUGAGGUUUGCCUGCCAUUGCCCGGAUGGAGCCGUAGCACGCGUGAGGAGCUCUGUGCAUCUUUGCAGGCCAGCCUUUGCCUGCGGCUGCGCAGGGGCUGGGGUAACCUAGCUAUCAGUCUAGCUCUCUCGCUCCUCGCGACGAAUGUGAAUGCCCCCUUCUCUCCUCACGGCCUAGCAGCUCGCUUACUGUUACUAAAACCCUACGCACAGCUCGCACAGCCUUAACUGAGCAGUGGCUGACUGGCUGACUUGUAGGCCAGGCUAGCAUGGUCCCACCGUGCCGCCCACUGCACCAGUAACGCAUGGUGAUGCCCUGAUGGGCUGAUGGCUCCGUCUCUCCCUGCGCACAGUGCAGGUCUUGUCGACGAUGGAAUCCGAUCGAGGCAAGAUGCCGUGAGCCCGUGAUCCAGCUUGCUCCUACACAGCUGCAUUUGCUGCUCACUGCUCGUUUGCAGCAUAGCUGUUGUUGCCUUGCGUGCUAUUCGGUGUUCUCCUAGCUCCCAGCUUUAAUGCAGACCUGGCCAUGGCCUCGGCCUGCGUUCCCCGCGCCCCUGUCGCCAUUCGAAUCACUGGGGCUCACCGUGGCCCGGAUGGAAUCCAAAGUAGAGAAUGGUAGCAACUCAGCUACCAAGAGGGUUGCUCUACUCUUGCGUGCACCUUUCAACAAAACACUCGGCGCCGUCAUAUAGCGCGUCGCCUGUUCAUCGACCCUUCCGCCUCGCUCCUCUCGCUUUCCUCCCUGACCUUCUGGCAUUGAGGCUAGCUUGAGCGUCUCCUCGGCUCCUUCUCGUUCUACCUCCCCUCCCGGCACCGUUCUCUCUCUGUAGUAUAUAUCCCUUGCAACUUGCUAGCUCAUCUUCAUCAUCUAUCAGCGCUUCACCUCCCACCACUCUCGUUCACCAUCUUUCUCUAAAGAAGUGUGCACCGGGGAAGCAGAGGGAGGGUUAGCUUCCAUUAUUUGUGCCCUUUCAUUCCGCCGUCCGUCGCUCGCCGGCCGGCGAGAGGACGGUGAGCCGUUCGUCUCUAGCCCUUCCUUUAGGAAAAAAAUAUACUUGAUCGAUUUGCUCACUGCUUAGUUGAUUUCUUUUCCCAGCAAGGUUGACGAGCCGUACAUUUCUUGCAUUUAUAAGGCUAGAGCCCAGGGAAAGGAGCUCACGCAGCUGGGGCGAUGAGGAGGAGGAAGAAGCCUCCGGACGGACGGACAACCGUGGCCACUCCUGAAAUUGUGGUGCGUUGUUUCUACCUUCUGUUUCUGCAUGCUGAAACCCGUCCUAAUUAACGAAAACACUGGCUAUUAGUAUUUAGUACUACUCUGAGAUCGAUUUGCCUUUACCAUUAUAGUUCUCUGGAGCCUUACUCGGAUUGGAUGGCAUAGGAAAAUAAAAAGGUUAGUAUACACUUACCAAUUAAAAUACCAUGUAAAGUUAUUUUGUACGUGGAGAUUUAGAUGUAUGAUGUAAUCAUCGUAUAAUUUUUGAAAUUUUUUUAUUUUUUUAUUUUUUUAAUUUUGCAUAAAUAUAUAGUCAAAUUAAAAAUUUGCAAAAAUGGCCUUAUAUCGUCGGCUGAAACGGUGGUAUGGGUCCUACCUACCGCCGUUUCAAUCGGCGGUAGGAGGCGGCAAGGCGAUACCGCUCACGGGUCACCCACCGGAUUAACUCCGCGUGAUACCCAAGAAAGCUCCGUCAUUUGAACUGGCGGUAGGGGCUUUGCUAUCGUUAAAACGGCAGUAAGGUCCUUACCGCCAGUUCAAACGGUGGGCUCGUCCACUGUAAAAUGUGACCACGCCCUUCCCCCUUCCCCCGCACCAGACCCCCGCCGCACUCACUCGUCCCCUCAUCAGACCGCUCGCAUUUGUGCCAGAGAAAGAAAGAGGAAAGGAAAGAAGGGAAGAAAAAAAAGGAGAGUAGAGGAGGAGGAGGGAAGAAAGGAGAGGAGGAGGGAAGAAAGAGAGGAGGAGGAGGAAAGAAUGGGGAAGAAAAUUUUUCCGUCGUUCUCAGUUAAAUUUUUUUAAUCUCGUAGUUUAGAUAGUAUAGUGUAGUGAUUAGAUCUAGAUUUAGAAAUAUUAAUGGAUGUGAGAUUUAGAAAUAGCUAGUGAAUCUGAGACUUAGAAACAUUUAGCUGAAUUUAGAUAUAGCAAGAUGUAGCUUAGUUAAUAUAAUAGAUUUAGCUUAGACAGUAAAAUAGAUUUAGCUUCAGUGGUAUAUUUAGCUUAGGUGGUAUAGUAGAUUUAGCUUAGGUGGUACAAUAGUUUUAUUUUAGAUCACAGUAAAUUUAAGAAAUCUUAGUGGAUCUGAGAUUUAGAAAUAUCUAGUGGAUCUGAAAUUUAUUUGUCGUGUAUAUUAGUUCUGGUACAUGCCUAUGAUAAAUUUAGUGCACUUUUUUUAUUUUUAACUUUUUUUUAUUUUUAUAAAUAACCUCAGCGGGACUUUAUUUGCGGUAGAUAACCCUUUUGACCGCGCCAGACCGCCUGGCGCGGCAGGCGCCCUCUGCCACGCCACAUGCACUGGCGUGGCGGGUCCCUGCCACGCUGGCGCGGUGACUCGCCGUGCAAGGUGGGCGCUCGCCGCGCCAGCCCGCCUGGCGCUGCAGAGCCUACUCUACACUCACGCGCUGGCUCCCUUCCUCCUCCCCCCUCCUUUCUUCUUCCUCUAGAACCACCCGAGCCCAAGCUUCUUGCGCCGCCCCCCGCCGCCCCACCCCCAAAUCCAACCAAAAUCCGGCGAUAUGCUCAGGAAGCACUUCAACGUUUGUCCUCAGGGAUCAAAUGAUGAGGUUGUGCAGCGAUAUGCUCGAGUUUAGCUAUGGCACUUUUUGAGCACAUUCCUCCUUCCUGAUGCAGCUGGGAACACGAUGUCUUGGAUGAUUCUCCCCAUUUUGGGUCAGCAUUGGGACAACAUAACCCUUUACAGUUGGGGCUCAGCGGUUCUCGCCUGGCUGUACAGACAGCUAUGUGAGGCUUGCAGGCGCACUGCAAGGGAUUCCAAUGUUGGAGGGUGCACAUAUAUGCUGCAGAUUUGGAUUUGGGAGCGAAUGCCCGUAGGUCGACCUUCCCGUCUCCGUAUCGAUGUAAGUCAGAACGGCUAAUUCCCUUUUCUACUUUAAUGUUUGGAAAACUGUUGUAUCAUGUGAUCAAUUGUACUUACUUGCAAUUUCAGCCAUGGCAUCGAGACGAUGCUCAUCCCAUAUUCUAUCAUGUGUGGAAGCAUGUGCGGCCCGUUCGUGGCAAUCCUGAUAGGCGCUACAGGGCCUACACAAACGAAUUUGAUGUUGUCACGCAGCACCAAGUAAUUUGCUCACCAGAGUUUGUUAAGCUCACUUCCGUAUAAUGAUAGAUGAAAUAAGUAUUGCGUAAAAUUUUUUGAAGAUUGAAUGGAAACCGUACGACCGUGAGCAGCUAAGGCAGAUCGUAUUUUCACCGACGUGCUACAGAGACUGAGAGCUGUGGAGGUGCACCAAGCCAAUGAUAUUGUACUACGUCAUAGAGUUUAAAAUAUCGCAUAGGGUGAUGCGGCAGUUUGGGAGGAUGCAACCGUGCCCUCCUUUGGAAUUAUCGAUUUCGUAGCAGCUGCAUAGGUAUGCAGGAAUAAAUAACUAUUGGAGGUUAUUCGAUACACGUACUUAACAUGUUAUACUAAUACUUUACUAAUUUCUGAUGUAGGAUCGACCGCAGAAAGAGGUAUAAGGAGAAUGAUUGGAGGGUGAAGCAUGGUCAGUACCUCGUCAUGUGAGAGAAUAAGCAAGGAUACGAUCCUAAAGGUGGAUCGUACUGGCGACCAGGACCAAACAAUGAGUACAUAUGAUGGUACUGUACUUCGACGAGAACUAAAGUGAAACCAUCUCGAAGUAAUGUGCCUAUUGAGGAUGCACCGUCUGACUCAGACGUCGACAUAGCUGACGCGUACGACACGGUGACACGCUAUGGGACCCAGCCUGAGCGUGCACCUCUCCACGACAACAUGGUAAAAUUUCAAUUUGUAAUCAUAGUAUUGUAACAUUGAUCACUCAUGGUAUGAAAACUAUGCGUACAGGGACAGCAGUUUGCAAGGCUCUCAAACGAGGCCGGCGUGGUUAUGGAGCACGCCGUCGGAUCCGGUGAUGGUCUGCUUCGUCAGUUUGCAGAGGUAGAAGCCCAUCCUAAUUUCCACUUAUGCUCGUACCACCUUUGUAACCCUAUCAAUAUCAUAGUCGUGAAUAUAUGCUGCUUACAUGUUGCAGAGGGUUCGGAAAAGCUGCAGACGAAUGGCCAUGAGGAUGAACUGCAUGUCGUCCUCAGAUGUGCACCACGGGGGCAAUGGCCAGGGUACUUCUUCGGGAUCACGUCGGACUCCAUUGGCGACUCCCCCAGGGCUGCAACACCGUCCACUGCUGCAGGUCCUAGCAGGAGAUCACGAGGCAAGGAACCCGCAUCCCCUCAGGCAAGCGAGGACUCUGAAGGUGAGCAGUUUAAGGAUGACGACCCUACAUAUGGUGAGGAACUGGAGAUUUCCGGCAUGAUCGAUGCUCCACCUAUGACUCAGACGCAGGGAGAGUCCAGCCAGGUACAUUCACAAGUUUCACCAAAUUUAAUUCUAGAUUGUUAAUGUUCACUCCCGAAGUAUCAUACAAAUUUUAUGCUUUGUGCCUAAUUAUUCUAUAGAAACCUGCACCUCGUACCCGGAUGCCACGCUGGCGGCAUCGUUCCCGGGACCACACCGACGUUGGCAGCGCCAAUUUGCUGCCCACGCAUCCAAGAAGGGAGCGUCGCCCAAGAGAUCCUUUUAGCCCUCCGGUUGAGCGGCGGUCACGACACUGAACGUUGCAUGUCUCAAGUGUGAUGCACUAUGUGUGCAAUUUAAUUUAUGUUAUAUGUGUGUGCAAGACUAUUGGAACUGUCACGUGUGUAAAAUACUAAGUUGGAUGUUAGGUUUAUUUCUGUCACGUGUGUAAAAGACUAAGUUGGAUGUUAGGUUUAUUUUUGUCCGUACAAUGUUAUAUGUUUGCUCCAUGACAUACUUGUGUUUCGUGGUUCAAACUAGUUUAAAAAAAAUCAGAACAGAAAAAGCUAUUUAAGUUUCAUCAGCCGGAUUGUUGGGGCAGCUGAGUCGGUGGAAGUCUACAAGUCCAGAAAACCUACUGAAACUUUAAUGAAUUUGGCGCGGGAGUGCACCCCUGCCGCGCCAGGCGGAGUGGCGCGACAGCCCAUCCACCAAAACCUACUGAAAAUUUUGUGCAAUUGGCGAGACAGCGCAUUCCUGCCGCGCCACUCCCCUUGGUGCGGCAAGCCCCGUCCCCCCCCCCAACAAACUGAAUUUUUGUUUCGCUUGGCGGGGGUAAAAAUUCCUACCGCACCAGGCGGAGUAUUUCUAGUAAGCCCCCCCCCCCUGGUUGAAAGGGUGGCAAGUUUUCGAANNNNNNNNNNNNNNNNNNNNNNNNNNNNNNNNNNNNNNNNNNNNNNNNNNNNNNNNNNNNNNNNNNNNNNNNNNNNNNNNNNNNNNNNNNNNNNNNNNNNAAAUUUUUUUUUCGUUGGGGGGGGCAGGGCCCUCCUCCCGCCCCGGGGGGAGUAGCGGGGCAACCCCCCCCCCCCCCCCGAAACCUACUGAAACUUUGUUGCGUUUGGCGCGGCAGCCCACCCUUGCCGCGCCACUCCGCCUGGCGCGGCAAGCACCGCCCCCCGGGCGAAACCUACUGAAACUUUGGUUCGAUUGGCGCGGCAGAGCACUAUUGCCGCGCCACUCCACCUGGUGUGGCAAGCCCCACCCCUGGGCGAAACCUAGUGAAACUUUUGUGCAGUUCGCGCGGCAGCGCAUUGCUGCCUCGCCAGGCGGAGUGGCGCGGCAAGCCCCACCCCCUGGGCGAAACCUACUGAAACUUUUAUGCAGUUGGCGCGGCAGCAUUGCUGCCGUGCCAAGGCGGAGUGGCACGGCAAGCCCCGUGCCCCGGGCGGGCGGAACGUACUGAAACUUUAUUUCGAUUGGCGCGGCAACGCACUCCGGCCGCGCCACUCCUCCUGGCACGGCAGCCUCCCACCAUAUCCAGCCCAAAUCCGAACGGGUUUGGGUCGGAUAAAAAAAUGCUCGGAUAUACACUACGCUGGAUCGGACCCUACCAGUAAUUAUAGAAAGAGUAUUGUCUUUUUUUUAAAUAUUACAGUACUUCUUCACAAGUUUUUGUUCAAUCUUAAAUUUUGAAUGAUGGUAUAUUUUUGUUCUCACGUGACUUGCGAGUAUGCUAGAAAUUUUGAUCGAAGCUACUACUGUUUCUUUCACACUCUAGUGCUAACUUCUAGCUCGGAGAGGAAACUUUGAUGCGUUUGGACAUAGUUCUCUCAUAAAUGAAAAUUAUUUUUGACAACUAACCGUAGUUCUCAGAAUAAACAUAAACAUAGUUUUCUCAUAAAUGAACAUACUUUUCACAACUAAAGACAAACAUGAUCAAGCAAAAUCAACAUGUUCAUCUAGUCCGAGUCACCUUCAUAUAGUAACUCGUCAUCAUCAUCAUCAUCAUCAUUAUCCCCGGCAACAAUAAUUCCCUUCCCUUUCUUAUCGACAUUAACCUUACCAACAAGUAAAUUGGCAACAAGAGCCUUCAUCGUCUUCAUCUGUGCCUCUUCCGCUUUUUGUUAUAACUCUUCCAUUUCAAUCCUUCUCUUUCUUGCCCAAACCUGCUGCAAAUAUUCUUCCCAUGAACCCUUAGGGUAUUUCGCAUUCGGAUCAACCACAUAACCUAAGCGAUCUCUUUCCUCCCUCAACCUUUGUUUCUCCAACUCUCUCUCCUCUUGCAACUUCCUCCUAUUUUCUCUCUUCUCAUUUCAGUUAGAGGUCGUGGAUACUUGGAUCUAUUCUGCCUCCAAUACUUAAUAAUAGUUUCCCUCGCAUAAAGUCCUUCAGGCUCCACUCCAGUCUCAUGCACCAUAUCUUGAUAUAUUUUCCCCCAAAGCAAGUCGUUGUCAGGGAUAGGCACAUCAUACUCCUUCCUAAUAUUUUCUUUAAGUUCUUGUUGUUUUCUUGACUUCCAUAGUUUCGAUGUAUUACCCAACUUUAAUAACAAAUCACAAUGACUAGAAAAAUCUUCCCAAUCACAUGUCCUUCCCUCCUGCAACAACAAUUUCAUAUUCUUACAAAUUUGAAACAAGUUCCAACCUUAAUAACACACAAGAGACGAGUACUUACUAACCUAGUAAUCGCCAUGUGCAUUUCCACAGAACGAACCAUAUCCAAGUUCAGAAGGUAUCACACCUUGUGUUGCCAAUAUACCACACUUGCAUCUAUCAUUAGGAGAGGACACACAUGGCCACGGUGCCUUUCCACUCUCGAACUACCGCACUUGCUCCUCCGUUGGCCACAUUGCCAUUGGGCCGUAUAUAUAUUCAUUGAAAUCACACAACGGCCACCCAUCCUGCAAAAAAACGGUGACGUGAACUACUCAUACGUAAAGUAACUAGAAAACGCUGCUCCAACUUCCAAACAAUAACAUCAAGUAAAAGUAUGAACAAUAUACUGCAAAAUUAUAACUGCUAGCUACACGAUAUAGUAAUAUUCUCAUAAUAAACUUACAUGAGUCUUUAGCGAGCAUCGAAAGAAUGGAGUAAACUUAGGUGGAUCCCCUAAGUUAGGACGCAUAAGCUUAGCUGGAACACCACACUUGCACAUGGGAGGAUCCCUCACACGCCUACAAGCAGCCUCCUGCUUCUCCUCCUCGGUCAUCCUUGGUGGGUUUGGUGGAGGAGUAACCCAACGCCUAAACUAAUGGUAUGGUUUAAGCUCUGUGCUAUGAUAUGGGAAUAGACGGAUUGUAGGAUCAUAUUUGUCGGGUCCAUCGAUCCACUGAAAGAAAUCACAAGGUGCGGCAGGCAUUGGAUCAAAAGUCCACUUGCAUACAUAGAAGGCUCUUCCGGCUGUCUUUGGAUGCCUUGAUUGUUUCACCUCUGCUUGCACGCCACAUCUACAAAGAGGUACCGGAAAGUCAGGAGGUACGGGACCAGCACCAUUGGACUCGCCCACAUAACGCACAUACCACCUACGCCGCUUGUAUUCACAACCAAACGACGUCAUCUUACCUAGACAUCAAGUGCCACAAAAUUAAUACACAAAUAAACUUUACACACAUAAUCCAUACGAGCUAUAUACAUCAUUUCGAUAAAAUGUAAACACUCCAUCUACAAAAUACAAACACUGAAACCUAUCAACUAUAGCAACUAUAUUAAGGAACAAAAAUAUGAGACUAAUUAAUUGAACAUAUAAAAAAAAUACAUGUCAUGUAAACCACACAAUUGGAUGAAUAUAUACCUAAAUCGAAGCAUUCAACAAGUUCUACACGUCAAUAUAGCGGGCAGAGCCUCAAUUGGGUCUGAACUACAUAUCAUCUAACACAAAACACCAUUGCAUUUCAUUCAAAAUUGAAAUCAUCAACCUAAACCUAAGUCACCUAAACAUCCUCCGAUCUACCAAAUGCAACGGUAAAAAUACGAGAAAAAGUAUGGGGAUACCUUCCACACAAAGCAGGGAUCAAUUUCCACAACUUUCCCCCACCGAAAUCGCUGGAUUUUGGGUGGAUUUGGGGGUGGGGUGGCGGGGGGCGGCGCAAGAAGCCAAGGGCGCUAGUCAGGAGGAAGAAAGGAGGGAGGGAGGAGGAAGGAGCCGGGACGCGGAUGUGGUGGAGGCUCUGUCGCGCCAGACGGGCUGGCGCGGCUAGCGCACGCCCACGUCAGUGCCCACCUGGCGCGGCGAGUCGUCGUGCCAGCGUGGUAGGGGCCCGCCGCGCCAGUGCAUGCAGCGCGGCAGAGGCUGCCUGCCGCGCCAGGCGGUCUGGCGUGGCCAAAAGGGCUAUCUGCCGCAAAUAUAGUUCCACUGAGGUUAUUUUUAAAAAUAAAUUAAAAAAAGUUAAAAAUAAAAAAAAUUCAAAUUUAGUUAGGAAGCUUGGUUUAGUGUUACAUAGUUGUUUUUUUAUUGAAUUGAAGUCGUCAUUGUAGUUAACUGAUAUAUAUUGCUGAGAUUAAUUUGGACUGCCCGUUUCAUGCAUGUUGGCAGGCAUGUCGGAUAGUUUAAAUUUUCAAGUGUUCUAUGGGUCGGGAAGGUUAGAUAUGGUGAAUUUUUUUUAUUUUUACCCUUUUUUAAAUUUAUUUUUAAAAAUAAUCUCAGUCGAAGUUUAUUUGCGGUAGGUAACCCUUUUGCCUACGCCAGACCGCCAAGUGCGGCAAGGAGUCUCUGCCGCGCCACAUGCACUGGCGCGGCGGACUCCUGCCACGCUGGCGCGGCACGACGCCGAGUCAGGUGAGCGCUGACGUGGGCGGGCGCUUGACACGCGAGCCCUCCUGACGCAACAGUGCUGACGCGCCAGCUCGCCUGGCGCGGAAGCGCCUUACCUAGACACGCGCAACGGCUCAUUCCUUCCUCCCUCCCUCCUUUCUUCUUCCUCCAGCACACCUGCACCUGAGCUUCUUGCCGUCGGCGCCCGCCGCCCCACCCCCAAAUCCACCCAAAAUCCGGCGAUUUCGGUGGAGGAAAGUUGAGGAUAUCGAUCCCUGCUUCUUGUGGAAGGUGUCCCCCUAGUUUUUCUCGUGUUUUACCGUUGCAUUUGGUAGAUCGGAGGAUGUUUAGGUGACUUAGGGUUAGGUUGAUGAUUUCAAUUUUGAAUGAAAUGCAAUGGUGUUUUGUGUUAGAUGAUGCGUAGUUCAGAUGCAAUUGAGCCUUUGCUCGCGAUAUUGACGUGUAGAACUUAUUGAAUGUUUCGAUUUAGGUAUAUAUAUUCAUCCAAUUGUGUAGUGUAAAUGACAUGUGUAUUUUUUAUUUGCAAUAUGUCCAAUAUGUGGAAUAUGUCGAAUUGAUAUGUUGAAUAUGUGCAAUGUGUAGUGUAUAUGACAUGGUGAAAUGUUUGUAUUUUUUAGAUGGAUCGUUUAGUUUGAUUUUUCGAUGGUGGUAUUGUGAAACAAAAUAGUGAGUUAGAGAAUAUGAAUGAGUCAAUUGAAUUCUUCGAGGUUCCUCCAAGUUUUACUGAUUUAGUUGGCCGUGCAAUGGGGAAGGAUGGAUGUAGAGUAAAUGAGAUGAGUUUGAGGUUAUUUUGAUUGUGGGAAAGCUAGAGCUCAUUAUGUUCUCAUGAACUUGGCAUCCGAUUCAAAUUGGAAGCACUAUAAGUAUGUAGUUCACGAAGAAAAUGUUGCAUGUUUGGAGGUUAUUGUUGAAAUUGUUCGUAUGUGUGGUCCAAAUGUUGUAUAGACCUUUUAGCGUAGUUCACUCUAACAAAAACUUAAAAUACAAUGUGAUGUGCAAGCAAGGAUGCCAUUGGCGUGUAUGGUCUUGGCUAAUAUCAAGCACCGGAUAAUGAAAACUUUCAAAUGUUGUGCAACCGAAUACUUGUCGUUCGUCACAGCCGAAGCGAGUGCACGUUCAGUGUACAGCAAAGUACCUUGGGUAGCGUAUCCUAGGCAUUAUCCGUAAAGACAGCGAGACAUCAGUGCCCAUCCCUUGUGGAGUCCCAUUUUCGCCUUUAGUGGGUACCGUGUUCAAGUAUUUAAAGGCUUGGCCGGCGAAGCAAUACGCCGUUGCCCUGCUUUGGGGGGACUGGAAGGAGUCGUAUGGCAUGGUUCCUAGGAUACUCACAACUAUAUCCUACUACAAUCCCGGGGUUAAAUGGUUCAUUGACUCAUGUGGCAUGAUGUAUCCUGACAAUGAAGUUUUGAAGGAUAUAUUCCAAAGGGUAUUUGCUUUGGGGGGACUGGAAGGAGUCGUAUGGCAUGGUUCAUAGGGUACUCACAGCUAUAGCCUACUACAAUCCCGAGGUUAAUUGGUUCAUUGACUCAUGUGGCAUGAUGCAUCCUGACAAUGGAGUUUUGAAGGAUAUAUUGCAAAGGGUAUUUUGGUGCUUCCCUCAAUGUAGUGAGGCAUUUUAACAUUGUCAUCCUGUGAUACUUGUGGACGGUACAUUCUUGACUGAAAAGUAUAAGGGUACACUAAUGAUGGCAGUUGGUGUAGAUCCAGAACAGCAGCUUGUGCCUCUUGCUUUUGCCUUGACUGAGAGUGAGAAUAAUGAGAGUUGGUCAUGGUUGAUGAAACUUGUUCGGUGACAUGUACUUAUACCUUCACGGCAAGUGUGUAUGAUAUUUGAUAGGCAUAAUGGGCUCCUAAAUUGUGCGAAGGACCACAUGGAUGGUUUUCCACCGCUUGUGUAUAGGUGGUGCACGAGGCACUUUGCUGCCAACAUGUCGCGUCGGCAGAAGACCGACCGCGUGAUUGGAAAAUUGAAGACUUUAUGCAAGGUUCAUACGGAGAGAGAAUUUAGUGAGAAGUUAGAAGAUCUAGUGAAGGACUUGAAAGAUGACGCAAAAGAAUGGUUGAAGGGUGAAAUGGAGGAUAAGGAUAAAUGGGCGCAGGUGUUCGAUGAGGGAGGGAUGCGUUGGGGUAUUAUGACCACGAACUACUUGGAAUCACUGAACGUUGUUUUCAAAGGCAUUCAAAGUAGGUCCAUCUCUGGAAUUAUUGAAUACUCAUUCGAAAAAUGCAACGCCUACUUUGUGGACUGAUGGUUUUGAUGUGGACAAGUCGAAAAAUCGUUACUCGAAGUGCCACAAGAUCAUUAGGAAUUCCACACGCCUCAAUAGAAAUUCUAAUGCCACGAAAUCUAGGACGAACAGUAAUAGGCUACGUUCUUCCAACAUGAGGGUAGACACGUUGCUCGUAUUUUGCAUGGUUAUCAUUAUAUCAUUUAUUGAUAGUAAAUUAUCACUGUUACUGUACUAAUCAUAUAAUGCAGCUUUUUACUAACGAAUUUUGUUUGUUGUUUAUUUAGGAUGGUGGCCCCAGCGUACCCGCUUCUUGAGUCCACGUACGACUUGCAGUACCGCGUCCACCACCUCGCCGACCUACAGGAGGUACUACAUCAGUUCUGCAGUUAUAACGAAAGUUAAUAGAUUCUUGUUGAUUAAACAAUAUUUGGACAUGUUAAACAAUAUUUGUAAGCAUGCACAUUACAAGUUCGUACCAUUUCAAUAGGCCUCCAUGUGAAAAUUUAUGCUGAUGAAUGUGUACCUUAGGAUGAGAAUUGCGAGAUUUUUAUAUGAACUGUUCUUAUUAAUGCUUGCUAAUUUGUCGCAAUAGUGCUUAACAUGCCUUUUCACUUGCAUUUUGAAAAUUGUCGUUACGAAAUUCUUGUAAAUCGAUGCUAAGAUUGUCCCUUAAUAUUUGCUUGUGUAAUUCUCAACUGACAUGAAGUUUCAACUUCAAAACGGUGAUGACAAACACCAUUGCAGUUUGUUGUGUACAAUGUGAAUAAUUUCAUACUGAAAAUGUCAUUUAUAUCAUAUUUGUGUUACUUAGCACUUUAGUAGCCCUUUAUUCGUAUAGUUGAUGAGCCCUUUAUUCUCAAAUGCAUUGACUUCUCAUUUUUGUUUGAAACCACCUUUUUCAUCAAUGUCUAUUUGCUUGUUGGUAAGUAAUAAUCUUAUAAUGUUUUGCAGGAUUUGAAACCACUAAGGGCUAGCGUGCACUCACCAUUUAGGUGGAAUGAGCGGUACGCGCAGUACCUGCAAAGAGCAGGAUUUUUGGAUAUUGCGGUUCAGGUUGUCGCGGGUGUCCCUCCAAUGGACGGACCGUUGUUGACCGCUAUGGUCGACAGGUGGCGUCUGGAGACUCACACCUUCCAUCUCCCGUUCGAAGAGAUACCAUCACGAUGCAGGACAUUGCUAUGAUACUUGGUCUUCCACUGGAGGGGCAUCCAGUGACAGGAAUCAUACAGAACGAGAAUUGGCGUGACAUGGUAGCAAUGCAUAUUGGGAUUAGGCCGCCAGAGCCAGAGGACGGAGCCAACUCCAAGAAGACUUUUGGUGUGAGCUCUGCAUGGUUGAGGGAGCACUUCAACGUUUGCCCGCAGGGAGAAAUGACGAGGUUGUGCAGCGAUACGCUCAUGUUUGGCUAUGGCACUUUGUGAGCACAUUCCUCCUUCUUGAUACAGCCGGGAACACGGUGUAUUGGAUGGUUCUCCUAAUUUUGGGUCAGGAUUGGGACAACAUAGCACUGUACAGUUGGGGCUCAGUGGUUCUCGCCUGGCUGUACAGGCAGCUAUGUGAGGCUUGCAGGCACACUGCGAGGGAUUCAAAUGUUGGAGGGUGCACCUAUAUGCUGCAGAUCUGGAUUUGGGAGCGAAUGCUCGUGGGUCGAUCUUGCCGUCUCCGCGUCGAUGUAAGUUAUAAUGGCGAAUUCCCUUUUCUGCUUUAAUGUUAUCAAAAAUGUUGUAUCAUUGCAGCCAUGGCAUCGAAACGAUGCUCAUCCCACAUCUAUCAUGUGUGGAAGCAUGUGCGGCCCGUUUGUGGCAAUCCGGAUAGGCGCUACAGGGCCUACACAAACGAGUUGGAUGUUGUCACGCAGCACCAGGUAAUUUGCUCACCAGAGUUUUUAAGCUCUAUUAUGUAUAAUGACAUAUGAAAUAAGUAUUGUGUACAAUUUUUUGAAGGUUGAAUGGAAACCGUACGAUCGUCAGCACCUAAGCCAGAUCGUAUUUUAUGUGGGAAGCAGUGUGGGAAGCCACGCUUACCAAUGAACAAUCAACUCUGGGUAUAUGAUCUCGUAAAUUUUGGAGUAAUAAAUAAGCAAAAUUCUUUCCCAAACAAGGGUCGUCCCUAAUGGAGAACUCAGACGAAAUUGGGAAGAUGAGUUCUGAACCAUCUUAUCCAGACAGCUGAAGUGAGUGUGGCCAGCGUAUCGUGGCUUAUAGAUGAGUUCUGAACCAUCUUCUCCAAAUGCAAUGCCUAGGCUGCCACUACAAACAUCUAAACGGAGCCUAGUAGAGUCAAACGUUCAGUGAAUAACUACUCUGCUUGGCGUACAUGUAUUAAUUUUUUCUGCUCUUAAUGAAACCCUAAAUCGGCGGCAAGUAAUGGCAAAAAUCCGUUUUGGCCAUAAAGUUUGAGCAGUUCAGAAAAAAUACGAAAUUUUGAGAAAAAAGAACAAGCACUCCAAUAGGUCCUGCGGUAGUGCAGUACCCUAGCGGUUCCAUUCGACAUUCCUUUCCGACGGUUCCUACAGCGGCGCUGCUCCUCCCCAGACCGGCGGCGCGCCUCCUAGCAAGACCGGCGGCGUGGGCCCUCCCCAGACCGGCGGCGCCCCUCCUUCCUAGACCAGCAGUGCCCCUCCUCUGCAACUUCGUGAAGGUAUCAAGGAUAAGGAUUAAGGUCUUAAGGAAUUAAGGAUUCAUUGAUUCAAUAUUUCAAUUUCAAGGAUUAUUGAGUAUGUGGCUAUGUGCUGCAGAGUGCAGACUGCAUUGCUGCUGUAUGCAUGAUUCAAGGAGUUGUACUGUUGUAGUAUAAAUGGCUUGCUCGUAUGGAUGAUUCAUUGAUUCUAGUCUUCUAGACCUUUGCAGCCAAUACUUCAAUAAUCAGUACUAUGGUCUUUGAGUAUGGAGUAUGGACAGAGUUUGCUAUGCUGUUUGCUUCAAUAAUCAAUACUAUGCUGUUUGCUGACUUGCUGUUGCCAAUUGCCAUGAAAUAUGUGUUGAAAAUGGUCAAAUAUGUGCUGAAACAGGGGAAAUUCUGCUGAAUUUUUGCAAAAACGCUAAUCCGAGCAUGGGUGAUGGAGAGAAUCCGAGCAUGGGUGAUGGAGAGAUGAGCAUGGCUGGUGGAGAGCAUCACAAGGUCUAUAUGACUGUGUAUGGUUGUCACUUCAAUCGUAGCAUGCAUGCAAACUAACUAUAUAUUGUCUAUCUCAGAUAUCAAAUGUGAAACACUAUUGCCGCCUCCAGAUGAUUGGAAAGUACGUUAGUGGAUAUUCACCUAGGCAGACUUACCUAGUGCAUGAGUUGGGAGCGGGCUUUGUGUUUAGCAUGGGAACCAAGAUGCCAUUGAACUCUUAUCUCAUGAAUUUUCUGAUUCGUUGUUUUCGUUGUGAUAAGGAAGCUCUAGAAAUUGAGGAAGGGGCAUUCAUAGAAAUAAGACCCGUACGAAGGAUCUGUAUAAUAUGUCCAAUACUGGGAAGAAACUAGAUCAUGGUGGAUAUCCCAAGUUUGAAGCUCUUGCGUAUGUAAGGACGACAAAGUUCAAAGACCUAAUUAAUACCUCUAUUGCCGACUUAUGGGAUAGAGUGAGAAAGGCUUCUGAUGAGGAUUUUUGUAUCCUUUUCAUGUUGGCAUUACUGAACACGUUUUUAGCUCCUUCCAGAAGUGAAAAAGUGGAUACAAGUUUUUUAAUAGAUCUCAUGGAUCAUGAGAAAAUAAAGGAGUUGGACUGGUACUCAUUCAUUGCCGAUUACCUUAUUAACAGUAUAAGGGCAUACCAACAGCAAAAAAUUAAAGAUGUUCCUGGAUGUCUUCACCUUCUGCACGUAAGUUCAAAGUCAUGUAUAUCUUUGCAUGCAGCUUAUAUGCGCGGACUACGUGAAAUAUCACGACAAAGCACCACGAACUGAUUUUCCACGGAGUAUGCAUAUCAAGGAUGCAGAUCUGAUGUGUGCGGCUAACCAAGUGUCACGUGUUAGCCUGAAGGUAAUGUUACUAAGAUUUAUGUAUGGUUAAGAAAUUCUGUAACAUGUGCAUAUUUCAGUACCGUCCUCAUUAUUUUCAGAAUAGCAAGUCGGCUGACAGCAUCCAUUUAGAGAGCAUGGACUCAUCUCCUCAGAUCUUUAGAAACAAAGCGAGUCUAUGCUUGUAUAAGAAUGUGAUUAUUUUUCAUACUACUCCCGGGGAGCUGAUGUAUGUGCCAAUUGUUUUUUUCUCAGAAAGCUCGUGCAAGAAAUACUGUAACCCAAAAAGCCAGUGCAAGGGUGCAGAAUGCAAAAGUUCUUGAUGACGUUACUCAUCAAGUCAUGAGUGUCAUCAAGAAUUAUGUAGAUGUCAGCCGCGCCAGCGUGGCGCUGACUUGGUGGCGCGCUUGACGCGUCAGACCACCUGGCGCGGUAGCACCUCUCGUACCGCCGCGCGACACCCUUCCUCCUCCUCUCUUCCUCCUCCAGCCAGACCCGAGCAGCACCUCCAACCCGUCGCCUCCUCCCCGAAACCCUCCAAAUCCGGUGAUUUUUGGUGUGGAAAUUGAUCCCCACAUUCUUGGGAAGGUAUUCUCCCACUUUUUUCUUGUUUUACUGUACCAUUUGCUAUAUCGGUGGAUGUUUAGGUGACCUGAUCUUAGGAUGUUGUUUCGAAUUUACUUUCUUAUUUCACUAGCAGCUAGCGGCUCACGUCUCUCCUCCUUAUACAGAGAGAUCUCGCUGUUGGCGACAAUGGUGCUCAGGGUGCUCUAGCCGUGGGUGUGGGUGUUCAAGAAAGAUACAGAUGUCACAGAAUCACAGGUAUGAAUUUAACUCUCCUUUCUUAGAUUCCUCAGCGUUUGCUGACUUAGCUCUGUUUUAUGUGUGACCUGUUCACAUAUACCUGUAGGCUGUACCUCGCGAGGUGACCGGCGAGGAGGCCAGGAACGAGGGGGCUGGCAGUGGUGGGGUCAUCAUUAAUGAUGAAGCCAUCAGGCAAAGUUCAUGAACAAAGACGGAAGCUUUGCCUGGCUUGAGUACAUCGAUUACAUCAACUUCCGAAGAAGUAAUCCAGAGAUGACUGAUCCGGAGGUCAUCGACGAGAUGCUUCGAAGGAGAUACGCUGUGGCUGAUCAGGAGAUGAAGAUCGUGGAGCAUCAGGAGGACGUGAGGGUCGACGAGGCAGCGAUGAAGGCGAGGUUCGAGGACUGGAUGAAGGAGUAUGACAAGACCUACAAGAAUGAGGAGGAGAAGGCUAGGAGGUAUGAAAUAUUCAAGCAGAACGCGAUCAACGCCGACAAGGCUAACGCGUCAGUCCCACAUGGUGCCCAUCAUGCACCUAACAAUCUUGGGGACUGACCAAGGAAGAAAUCUAUCGUCUGCGCAGCCGUCAGGAUGACUUUCCCUGGGAGUCCUACUUUUGUAGAAUGAGCAAGAUGUAUGCUGAGGGUAGGGUAGAUGGCGUUCCAGGAACUGUAGAUGCUCAUCAAGAGGUGGAGUGCACCGAGGCUGUGAAGCAGGUAUACUUCCCUAAUUAUCCGCACAAGUAUCGUUGUUCCUUAAACAGAAAUAUGCACCGGUAGCCACAAUCAGAUUUUUUUUUCCUAUGGCAUGCAUGUUUAGGAUGCAGACAAUCAGAUCUUGUCAUUCCCUUAUUUUGAUUUAGAAUUGUUGAAGUAGUCUUUUAAUUUUUCCAAGUGUUGAUAGUUACUGAAUUGAACAUUUGUAAAGCAGGCAGGAACUAGUUUGAUUUUCAUCUCCUAGUCAUUAUAUAUGCAGCAGUAGCUGUGUACCAACCGCACCAUAGGAGCACUGAACGUUGAACGAAGUCCUGCUGGGUUUUACUGUUUACAUGAACAAGAAUGCCCUUUUCUUCAGUCUAACAUUCAAGCAUGUGUGUAGGCGAAAGAGUCAUUCAGUUUCCAAUUAGCGAUUAGUUUCUGUAUUGAUCAUUUGAGAAGCAGCUAACAGCUCCUACGAUCCCUCACUGCUCUUUGCAAUUUGUCUCUAGCAGACCCCCUAAUUAUUGUUCAUUUUUCACUCAGCUGCACCAUAUUUCUAUUUGGAUAAUUCUGUAAUUUCUAGCAUUUUGGAUGAGAACAGUGCUACAGGGAACUAAAAGCAAGGAAGGCCAAACAAGACGCAGCCGCAAGGAAAUCCGAGCAAACCGCAGAUGCAGAUAAUCUCUAGCCAGAGACAAGGUAUUUCAAAGCCCUAGUCGAUCUUAUCCUUUGUUUUGCAUCCAACAUGUAAGGUUCUGAAUUUCUAGGCCUCGUGUGAACAGCUCCAUUCCUUUUCCCCACAAAACAUAAAAUCUUCCAAUUUGCACGAUCACUUGUUUGAGCAUGUCUACAGAGCAAUCCAGACUGGUCGAUUAGUCUUGCACUUGCAUUACGAGGUUAAAUCGUGUGAACUAAUAUUAUCAGUACAAUAUGUCUUCUGUUGCUUUACUUUCUUUGUAAAAUUUUCCUUUUUGUAAUAUAAUUUGCACUCAUCAGACUUGAGGCUGAUUACCUACUUCUUGUCGGAGUUUGCUUGAGUCUAAGCAUUGCAAACAUUGCUGGCUUCACCAAAUAUAACAAAGGUAUCUCUUUAUUGAGCAGUUCACUUUCUAGUGAAGAUUUCUUGGUUGAGUUAAUUUGCUCUGAACUGAUUGACCUCUCAGAAACUGAUGAUUGAUUCAGAUAGACAGUAUGUCAGUGUUUUCUAUCAAAACUAAGUAUAGUAGCUUCUGAAGACAAUGAUUUUCAAUUUUACAUGACUUCAUUUCGUUCGAUAAUGUGCGAGACAGUCAGCUUCUUUGUUUGUUACCUUAGAAGUUUGGCAUGUUACAGGAACAGAAUUUCACCAGCUAUUAUGCUUGUUCAAGAUCAUCUCUUUGAACCUUCACUGUAGCGAUCUUGUAUUACAUAGCAUUCUGCUGUUAUUUCUUAUCAAAGGUUUAGGCCCUCCUUUACUUUUCAUCUCGUACAUGUCUCUAUUGUUGUGGAAAUAGAACUUUUAGCUUGAAAGUUUGCCACAACUUGGUGCAGAGCACGACUUGCACCAAGCAAAAUCUAACAUACUCCAUUGCUAUUAUUAUUUUGCAGAUGCCAAGUAGAACAUUCAGGCGUUCGCUCAAAAUGCGCUCGCUUCCCGUGUCACAUCACCGCUGCAAUCAGCAUUCGGAGUCAUCUGAAAUCCCACAUGGAGCCAUGGAGGUGCUUUCCUCUGAUUGCAAGGAUGAAAAUUAUUACUGUAGUGAGCACUGUACUUGUCUGAAACUGGUACCUGAUGCAGAAAUGCAGAAGUGAUCAUUUGUAACCAUGAAUUUUUUUAUUUCUUCUCAUAGUUUGAUUUGAUUCGCCAAUGAAGAUAGUACGAUAGGCCUAACUACUGUACAGGUCUGUGCUGAAGAUAGUGAUGAGAAGGCAAACAUGCUUCACUGCUUUCUAUUUCUUUUCAAACUAAAAAGAAAUAACAAGGCACAUCAUACUUCCAGAGGUUCAUGUCGGGCUGGUCUUCGUUCAUCGUCGUAAUCACAGAGAAGGAGCUCGCAUGUCUCAAGUGGCGAGUCUCUACUCGAGCUCGCAGCAGACUGUACACAAACUCCAUGAGCUUGUCCUUGCACGCCGCAGGCUCCUCGCCUCCUCGCUUGGUCCUCCCUGAAUCUGAUGUGGGCUGUGGCCUCUGGGCUGCGCGAUCCUCCUGCGAAAUUCCGGAAUUUUGAAACGGGUAGGAGCAGCAAGGUUAAUCGCAGCCGAAGAUGAUCGUGGCCAACGCCGCCGAUAGAUCAUGCUCUCGGACUCUCACCGUGAACCGCCGCCCCGCCGGGUACUCCGAUCUCCUCUGCCGUUGUGGUCCGAUGCCCGCGCGGCUCAGAGCAGUGGAGUGGGGCUCUCGUGGUAGAGCAGCGCCUGAGCCAAGGACGUGCCUUGCGCUUCCGGCUGGAACGGAACCUAGGGCGGGCGGCGGCGGCGGCCGUCGGUGCCGGAGGCGGAGCCGACCAGACAGGGUGCUUUAUGCAAAUAUACGUUCAGGUAUUUUGCAAAAGGACCCCUAAUUUGGAUCGUGAAUAAUAAUCGCGAUCCAAAUAGGGGGGUUUUAUGAAAAUAAACCAAUCCAUAAUUUUCAAAAAGACCCCUGAUUUGGAUCGCGCGAUCCAAACCAGGGGGUGUUAUGUAAAUAUUCCGGGGCAGCGUCAGGAAAGCCGAUGAGCCCGCGCUGCCGGCGGCGACCUCCGCCGCACCGCGGCAAUAAAUCCCGCACUAGCCUUCGGAUCCCACUUGCCUACCCGGCCGCUGCCUCCGCCUCCCCUGGCGCUCCGCUCACGGUGCUCGCUCCUCCGCCGCGUGGUUCGGUCGCGGCGGCUGCAGCUAGGCGGCUAGGCCAGUGCCCAGUAGGCCUUCCCCUGCAAUCCACCUGCUUCUCCUACUUUUUGACAUAUCCUAAAUCUUGAAAAGGCAGAUAUAUGCUUCUAAAAUUACUAGUCCGUGAUCUCAUCACGAGUCGAUGGACUCUGAUUCAAACUAUACGAUUGAUCAAGAAUCAUGAAGGGCACUACAGGAAAAUGACACAGCAAUAACCAUGAUGAUGGCAUGGCAUGAUAGUGCAUCGUUCCUGCGCUCUGCACACACCACAUAUAUGGGGCUCAAUUCCUUGCCACAAUCAGGGCGCGUUUGGAGGAGCUCCGGCCGGUUCUGGCUCCUCCUGACACGUUCACUGUUGCAUUAAAAGAGUCGGAGUCAGAGGAGCUACAAUUUAUGGCUCCACCGGCUCCUCCAAGGUCUGUGAGAGGGAGGAGGAGAGAGGAAAUCAGCUCUCGUGAACAGUAUCACUACAGUGCAUGAACAAUAACAUAUUGGUGAAAUUGGAACUAGGAGCUCCACCAAGCUGGCCCUCCCUGUUAUUACUCCUAAACAGUUACCACAACUCCUAUCCCGCAUGAGGACAACUUGAGCAGCAAUCUGGCCUCAAAUAGCAAGCGGCCCGUAUGGCCCAAAGUAGCAUUUAGGAAGGCAAUUAGAUCAGCAAAGCGCCAAAUCAAAACGCCUAGCAAAUAUGCUGAUUUUGCUACUAACUAGUAGAAGAAUUCGACAAAAAGUUUAACUGUAAUAGGUCUCAAGUCAAUCGGCUUCGCAGCUUUAACCCAAAAUCUUGCACUAUCCUAUCGAACCAUCCAUCACCGGUGUGUCGGAAGCUGCUCACCGCGAAGGAAUGUGUUGAUCAGCGUCAACCCUUCGGCAGGCUUGUUGAGGGGCACCAGGUGGCCUGCACCCCUGACCGUCACCAUGCUCAUGCCCUGGUACUCCACGAACCUCCCGGCAACCUGCAUUCCAUGAUUCGCUCCUCAUUUCAGGCUUUUCAGCUAUCACUGAUCGCAGAAACGUUCAGUGUGCAAGAAGUUCAGUUCAGACCUGUUUGUCAAGGUACCAGGGUUGCCACUGGGUCUUGGUCGGCAGACCGAGUGCUUCCACACAGUACCGGGAGCCAAUGACAGGAACCCUUCCAUCCGCGUCACCACUGCAUGAUAAAUACAGAGAUUUAGACUACGGAGAUGGAGAGUGAUGGAUGGGUGUUAAGCAUCUUGGUGAAUACUUGCUGUAAGAUUGCAGAUUUUCAGUCUUUUAGAGCAUGUAUACAAUUGUGCCUUCUGUGAGUACAGAAAGGAUCACACAUUCACACCUGUAGAGCCAAACUCUGAGCCCUGCUUUGAUGAGCUUCGAAUAUAUUGGUAGGACCGAAAAUACCGAGAAAUUGUAGGAAUUCAGGAUAGAGUCACUGCAUAAGAAACGAGCUUAUGUUAUAUUUUGUGUGGAAGAAUCGUGGGCAGUUUUAAGGCAAUCUACCUGCAGACAUGCCAUUUCCCUGGAAGCAACCCACUGAUAUUUGCAUGGAAAGCUUUCUGCACUUCCUGCUUGUUGAAGUAGUCCUCAGCAUAGGAUGAGUAGCAUGGAUCAUAGCCAGAGAACAUGUGUAUCCUUCUCCUGAAGUGCUCCUGGCAUUCCACAGAUGAGCAUCACUUUCAGAAGGAUCUCUGACCCGGAACUGCCAGAAUUAAUGUCUAUAUUUCUUUACCUGAUCAUUCUCGAAGAAUGCUUGAGCAGCAGAAGAUGGUGAAGUCUGAUUUAGAAGGCACUUGGGGGCAUAGAUGUUGUAUAUGUCGAUCUCUCGGUACUGACUAUAGACGAUGUCCAUGGCGGCACUGCAAUCAUCAGACCAAUUGGAGUUCUUGAAGUUGCAGUACUUUUUGAUGCGGUCGUACACUUCAUCCGAUACAACUGCAUGGCUCCAGGCAUACUCAGCUAGCCCUUUCGAGUCAUAGUAAUCGUUAGUGAUAGGGUUGCCAGCCUGCAUUGAGUCCAUUCUGAAUGUUAUGGUCGUGCAAGAAUUGAUUUCUUAAGCCCAAAACGUGAAUCUAAUUCUUGUUUCCAUUCUUUCAUGGUUCACGUGCCCAUUUUAAAUUCUGAAAAUAUGUAUCUGCAACAAGUAGAAAACUUAUCUAGUAUCCCAAAGAAACUUUAAGUGUGUGUGUGUGUUCUUCUGGAUCAUUGGAUGUUUUAGUUCGCAUAAUAUUUCAUUCCUUUCAUGAUUGAGAAAACUUCUAAUCAAAAUGCAAUGUUUUUGAAAUAUUAUGCACUAAACAUUCAGAUUUCAGACCACCAGAAAACAUCCUAUUCAAGUUCUGUAUCUUUUUCUAUCAUGAAACAACUUAUUUAGAAUAAAUUUUCAUGCAUCAUAAAAUCUAAUUUAAACCCUUACAAUGAACCCCUUGAGGUUGAUAUAUGCUUUGCCCUUCUUGUCCAUGUUCCUCUCAUAAACAAGUUCAGCAAGUUGUGGCACAUAAUGACCUGCAGCACACCGAAGUCCAGGUUUCUUCUUCAGUGAUGUACAGACGACGUUUUGCAGGCAUUUCUCCACACAUGCUGUUGCCAACCAAUGUGACCCAUGAACCUACCACACUAGUUCUUUGACCACUCUUUAUAGGAACAUAUGUCUGGAGAUCCAACGAACCACUCAAAAACCAAAAAACUAAAUGAUAUGCUCAUACACCAAAAUGAAUUUUUGUACUUGGUUUCAAGAAAAGUAGAAAAACUAAUUCAGUAUGGGUACCCUUUGUGUUCUCAAAUUCAAAAAUCCAAGCAAAAAUAAAAAAUAAAAAUUGGCCUGUCUUCUCUGUUCUGAAGAAUUGGAUGACAGUCAGCAUAUUGUGCGACAUGAAAGCAAAGGCUGAAAAUGAUGCCUAGAUUCUUUCAAAGUGCUGCUUUCUGAUCUGGCAUUUUCUCUAGCUUGUGUGAUCUAUUAUUCUCUUAGGAGAUGGUGAACUAUGGGUUGUCGCAAUCGCCAACCCAGUGGAAAGCCAAGCUGUCAACCCGUUCUAGAAAGUAACCGAUGGUUUUUCUGAGUGGAAGUUCUAGUUUCUGAUAAGAUGGUGACACUAUCUUGUCAGGCUCAGGCAUACUUGGCAUAUUGAGAAACCCAAGCAAGAACAGAAACACUUGGCAUAUUGAGAAAUCCAAGGAAGAAUAGAAGGUUGGUGAAAGUCUGAGCUGCUGCCUUCCUUUUGGAAUGUGGAAAAGAAGGCAUAUAAAGCUACACUCACAUGCUUCACACCAGAUUUUGUGUGUUCUGGAUUCCUUCUAGCACAUCUUCUACAUUUCUCAACAGAAGUCCAGAAUUCCAAACCAAUGCAAGGCUGCAUAAAAUACCUGCAUAGCUCUCUCCUGCGAACCAUGUGUCCAGAAUUCCAAAAGAGCAAACCAAGGCUGAAACCUUUCAUGGUUUCAGGUAUAAAAUACCUGCAUAGCUCUCUCCUGCGAUGUAGAACCCUCUGUCCUUGUACUCCGGAAACCUCUCUAGCCAGUUCAAUAGGAAGCUAUAAGCAUCUUCAGCUAAAAAAAAGGUUACACAAAAUCCAUUUCUUGAUCAGCAACCACAUAACAACCGAAAUUCAAUAGAAACGCAAAAUUUAAUCUUUAGAAGAAAUGUUGUUUUAGGGUUAUUUUUAUAGUAAUAAAGGGUCAGGCAAAAAAUUGUUUUACGAUCAAUUUACCUACAAAGUCAUCAUUCAGUUUGUCAAGGUCAGAGGAUUUGUUGGUGUAGGAGAAGCCAACCCCGACAGGAGACUCCAAGAACAGCAGGUUAGCCUCUGGCAAUCACAAAAAAAGACUUAGCAUCGCGCUUCAAACAAAUGUAACUGACUUUGAGCAUGAAAAGAGAGCACCUUUGUUCCAUGCGUAUUCAUUGAACAUGAGGCCUGCUCCUUGUCUGACAACUCUGAGAGGCCCCAGCUCAGAUGCAGCUCCAUAGCCAAUCGACGAGCAACCAGGUCCUAAGUGGUAAUAAAAGUUAAAGCUGCUCGAUAACAAAAGCACGAAAGGAGUAAGAACAGAAGUGCUAACAUGAGACAAAGAAAAAUUCAGCAAAAUUGUCAGUAAUAAAUAUAAAUACAAAUGAUCGCAAAUACCAAGAACAUGAAUCGACACACAGAAGGACAGAGCAAGAGCAAAUGUACCAUUAACCAAUUGGCAGGCCAUCACUGCUCAACAACUAAAGAAGCCAAGAACAGUGGUAGCAGCAGUACAGUCAGAAUCUCAAGGAGUAGUAAAAGAUCACUAGUUUCCAACGACCAAUGGAGAUGAAAAGCUAGUUGAAGUUUUAACUUCUAAAGGUAGUACAAGGGAGACCUCCGUUGAGCCAGAGGAGGAGCGGCUUCUCCUCCGGCGCCGUCUGCGCCUCGAAGAACCAGUAGAAGAGCGCCCUCCCGUGCCGCUCGUUCACCGUGACGUAGCCGGCGAACUGCGACACGCUCGGGGUCUCCGGCUGGCCGGGGAGGCGCGCCACCCUGUCGGCGUCCCGCGAGCAGGAAGAGAAGGCGAGCAAGGCGAGAGCGGAGACGAGGCGGAGGCCGAGACCUGCAGCUGCCAUCGCCACGGGUGGUGGCCUGGUGGGAGGAGAUGGUUUGGGCACCUCGGAAUGCGCAACUGGAGUUCAGGUCAGGGGUUGGGCCUCUUGGUCUUCCUCUGCCCAGCCGCAAUUUGUACACCCACCCUUCUUCCGUUGCAAAAGGCAGAGUUUAUGGCCUGUUAAAUGGCACACUGGCUAGAGUUUAAUGAUGAAUUGUUGGCAACUUUCUCUUGACAAUUUCAGGUGUUUGCUAAAUUUCUCUUGCUUCAUAAUUUCCAAUUUUAUUUAAAUCCGUCCGAGUCAAAAUUGAAAAAAGUUUGGUUAUAUUAUAUCCUUUUACACUUGAGUCACUUGACACCUUAUUUUCUUGAGCGUAAAGGGGUGAUGUUAAGACUACACCCAAUAGGAGUAUCAUGCACGUUAAAUAUCUGUCACGUAGAGUUUUUCUACUGAUGUGUCAAGAAAAUUAAGCAGAGAGAGAGGAAGCGGUAUAAUCAUUUUUAAUAGGUACUGAAAUGUCCAUGUAAAAGAGACAUUCUUCAUCAUGCAAUUUGGCCUGUUCGUAUCAACGUUGUCACGUGUUGAAACGAACGGCAUUAUCAGAAAUCACUCCUUUGACCGUAGCACAAACCUGAGGUAGACGCAAUUAGACUUGGCACAUUUAUUAUUCCUUUGAAAAUGGUUGCGUCUACAAUAAUGCCUAUUUUCGUGCAAAGAGGUCCACGGUAGAGUGGAUGGACAAACGUAACCCACCGUGGCCUCCAAUUUUCACUAUGCUAAUCUACCACAUCACUUCAAACUUUUUACCAACUGACGUGGCGUGCUUACAAGCCUCCAAUUAUGUGUCGUGUCUCUCUGUCAGUAUCAUCGUCAAAGCAAGCAGCAGCAAGAGAGGAAGAUAAGACGUACGCCGUCGGCUCACACAGUAGUAAUUGUUUGUCGUGGGCUUGAGCGUGGUCGACCCAAAUCAUUAGCCCAUGGGAGCUAUUAAGGCCCAUAUGCGCAAGAGGUUCGUGUGCAUGACACAGGUGGUGAUGCCCGUCAGCCCGUGUUGUUGCCACUCUGUCUCGCUGACGGUGUUCAAAACGAAAAAACACGAGGUCUUGAGCAUUGAUUUCUUUGUGCUUUCUUGGGUUAGGAUGCUCAUGCAUCUAAAAUAAUUGUGGGCCUCCUAAAAAAGAGGCAAUCAUAUCAUAAACUGACCAUGAAACUGACAUGUCGCCGGUGCGUCUAUUAUAUCUGACGACCACAUUAUGCCUCGACGACAUGCAUACGUAUAGGUACUGAGCGUGUUUGCGGCCUAAUGCAUGCAUGCGAAGCGAAUAAUCGAGCAACUCUGUCUUGAUCUAAUCUUAUUCUUCUCCUAAUUAGACGGCGCUGCGCGAUGUCGUCGCUAUCGCUCACGUUCUCUCCUCAUCGGCGGUUCGCUUUCUAGAGGGGAAAGAGAUUUUUUAAAAAAAGGCGUCUUCUACGUAGGAUAAGCGUAUUUGAUGGCCAUGUUCCAAAAAGGCGACGAGGCAGCUGGUACACGUAUGCAUGUUACAAGUGUAGACUAAAGCAGUGUGUAUGCGUUCUCAUUUCUCUUUUCUGCGGGGUCUCCUCCUCUCACAGUGUGUAUUAUAUCGACAAUUGAUAAGAAAAGAAGGAAAGAUAGACAAAAUAAAUCAAGGACAAUUAUGCAAUAACAUCUCUUCUCAUUCAUGUUUAAUUUACACCUUAAUUUGAUGAGCAUCUACACAUCAGCAAUACACUUUUAAGCAAAAGUGUUAUAAACUUUGCCUGUUAAUUAAUUGAAAAUGCUGCCGCCUGCCGGCCUCUCCUUAAUUUUGUUUGAAGAGGGACAAGAGACUUCGUGCCUACAAAUAUCAUAUAUAUAUAUAUAUAUAUAUAUAUAGUGGUUAAAAACAUUUUCAGAUAUAUUGAAAAUAUUUUUUAUCAAAUCAUUUUGUUGUGCCUGCAGUUUCAACAAUUAAUGCCAGAAAUAUACUUAAUCAUCAAAUGUUCAAAUAAAACUGAGUUUUUCAUGUUUUGCAUCAAGGUAAAUUGGAUGGAUGUGGUAAGUGCCACGUUUAGCGAUCAUGCAUCACUUAAUAAACUGAAUAAAAAUUAGUGAGCUUAAGUGCACAAGUGAUAGGGCCAUGGGGGCCAUGGCAGCUUUUUGCUAGCUCUAACUAGCUAGUGUGCACUCCAAUUAUAUCCCCAAACGAUAGCUAGGUUAAUUAGAUGCAUAGAUAUGUUGCCGUGGAAACCAGAAACCAAGACCACAGUAACCGCACGAACACACUCAGAAUUCAGAAAAGUCUACUAUGUCUAGGGUUUUAUUUUACUUUGCCCCUAUUUGCUACUCCUCCGUUCCAAAUUCCCUAUUUGCUACUCCCUCCGUUCCAAAUUGUAAGUCAUUUUAAUUUUUCUAGGUUCAUAGAUAUUAUUAUGCACCUAGAUAUACAUUAUAUCUAGAUGCAUAACUAAAAAAAGCUAAAACGACUUACAAUAUGGAACUAAGGGAGUACAAAAGAUUGGAAGCUAAUAAGGUUAGUUAAUGACAUAGGAACGUCACAGGAAUUAAGAGCAUCAGGAACAGCUUUUAUAAAGACAGUGAGACAAGAGACAAAAAGAGAGGCUAAACUACGAUAUCAUUUCACAAAUCCUUCUUGUCUAGUAAAGUUGGUGUCCUCUGACCUUACAUUAAUCAGCUUCUCUAAACCUCCUCCGCCGUCCAUGCAUGCGUACGUGCAACAGAAAAAGGCAUCAUCCUGCCGUGAUGUUCUUAUCAUCUGACAUUUGUUCCAAGAAUCUAAGAGAUAAAUUAUGCAGCACUGUGUGUACGUGUUCUACUAUAUCUAUUAAGCUAACACUUUGAUCUUAUGUGUCUUUGGAUUAAAUUAAAUUAAAUUAAACUAGCUAGCACACUACUUAAUCUGUGACAUGAUUCAAUCAUGCACGGCGCCGAACGGAACUGGGUCCUGUCUGCCAAUAAUUCGGUACUCUCUCUUAUUACGUUACGUACACUGACGAAUUGAAUUUCAUUUGACCAUCACCUGUACUGGUAGUUUAUAAAGAUCAGGUGGCGAGUGAGCAAGUGAUGAAGUGGACGGCAAAUUAUGUAUGUUGAGAAACAUUGCACCUAUCAUGACGAUAUAAUUAAGAGGAUAAGCCCAGCUGGUUAAAUAUCAUUACGGUAUAACUAAGCUGCAGCAUCAGAUGCUCAAAAGCUUGAUCAAACCAUAUGCUAAUACUGAUUCAUGCACGUAGGUACAAUCAGAGACACUGUACAGCAUGAAGCAAGCAUGCAUGGAUGCAUUAUUGACGGUUGUUCACUUUGUUCAUGCAUGGAGCAUUGCACCUGCACAACAUCAAUGUCUCAAGACCAGCCCCAAUUAUAUAUCUAAUUGAGUUUGUUUUGUUAGUUAGGCUAUUAGGCAGUAGCUGAUGGAGUAUAAUAUGUUGUCACCUAGCUAGUGAUGUGCUUGCAUUAGAGUACUUGAUCACACUAAAGACUGUUUGGGAAUCUGUUGGUGCAUGUGUGUGUUCUUCUCUAUAUUUCUAACAUGUAGGGUACACUAGAUGUCGUUGUAGCUCUUCUACAGCAAAAGGCGGAUGCUUCCGGCCUUUCUGUCUGCUCUAUCCAGUUUUCUUUGAGGAACUGUGUGCAUCCACUUUGAUUAAUUUUCUCAAUUUGAUGCUCGAUCCGUUAACAAGGCCUUGCAAGCCUAUUCGUGAUCGAGUUGACAUGGCAGUGCGCCCAGUCCAUGCAGGGUUCACUUUACGGGUAAGUCGAAAAAACAAACACGAUUUAUUGAAAAAUAACGGAUAUAUAGGAAAUAGUUCAAAUACAUUUGAACAGAAAUCAAGCACGCUAUAUGAUUUUUAGUACUGCUGGAGUUGCUCUUAAGGCGUGGGAAAAAGAAAAUUUGUGAGACCAUCAUGUAUUUUUUCGCCCACUGAAGCUCGGAUCCUCUACAACGACGUCUAUGGCUCUCUCUCCGUUUGCGUGCAUACUCUGGCAAAUCGAUCCUUUUCGAAGCGUCAAACACUCGAACAUGUUCUAUGUUUGUGUGGAUCAAUAACCUGAGCUACGAGGCUACGACAGAUCUGCCCAUGUAUAGCUGGCCGGAAAUGAAGCAAAAUAUCUGUCAAUGCAUUAUUGUGUCUCAGAAAACACCAACACUAAAUAACUCUGCUAGAUCUUUGGUUAUCACUUAUGUGUGCGUAUUAAUGGCUUUUAAGCAAGUAGGCGCACAAUUGGCCAAGUGUAGGUGUGCCACGUAUGUGACCAAGCACACACUCACUUUUUUCCCGGGAGAACAUUUUGAACAAACACACGCUCACUCAACACAUGCAUAUCAACUCACACCACCAGUCCAUCUUCAAAGUUAGAUUUUAACCAUUGUUUUCUCAGUAAUGUAUAUCAUUUAUAGCUAGCUUAAACAUUAAUAUAGAACGUGUCAAAAUGGUAAGACACACUUUUACUUUUUAGAAUAUAAAUCUAGUAAUUGUAGCAUAAUGUAUGGUAAUUUCUAUACACUAAACAUUUUUUUGAUAAUUUCAGCUAAACAUAUUCAUAAUUUGUUAGUCAAAAUAUAUGUACACAGUUUGACUUCUCCAAAACAAAAUACACAUUAUGUUUUUUAACAGAGGAAGUGCUUUCCUUACAAUCAGAUCUUAACCAAUUUAUUAGGACACUGGCAUGAUGUCUAUAGGUUGAUAUACUUGACUACAAAUUAUUUAAAAAUGUGUUGUUUCAAAUGAAGAGAAUUAUAUACUAUGCAAGUAUUUUUCUUGAUAAUAGAGGCAAAAUAGUCAUUUUCAUCCCUCAACUAUCGCCCGAAUGGGAAGAGAAUGUGAGGGUGUAUGGUUUAUUAUUGUACCAACCAGCUAGUGUGAAUAACAUAGUGAGUGAUACUCCGUACUUAAUUGUUUUGAGUGCACGUCAUCUAUCAACAUUGAUAUUGUGAAUUGACUGUUUGCCGUCGACAAAGGAGUGAAGGAUGCUGAAUUCUCGUCAAGCCAUGACCUGUUGGUUUCAUAGGUUGCUCUAUCAUUCUAUUGCGUUGGACCCCAAAGGGCUGGUGAACGGUGACUGCUAUCCGAACGAUCAUGGGGUUAGACAUUGACAGUGGGGAAUUAAUUGGAUAUUUAAAUGGUCUCCUUAGUGGGCGAAUAGAUUAUUGAAUAUGACAUCGAAAUGGUGUUGAGUCAAGCCUUAUUAAUAAUGUGCCGAUGAAGUAUAUAUGUUUUUUGCCUUUGUACCCAGUGCUUGUUUUUGUGCCCUUAACUUAUUUUCCUGUAGUAUUUUCUUAAGCCAUAAAAACUGACAUUUUCUCAUUUUUUUAGUUACUACAUUUGUUUUUAAAUAUACGAAGUAUAUAUGACAAGCUAGUUAAUUAGUUUAGCUUUCUAAACAUUAUAUAUUUAAAAUGGAGAGGAGUGAUCGUGGCCAAGUUAAAUAGUUGGAGUGGCAGAAACAUGACGACAGCUGGCAGACUCACUUUGGUCAAAUCGGUAUUAACUGCUCAGCCGGUUUACUUACUAUCGGCCCUCAAAGCGCCCAAAGAGAUACUGAAGAUUAUUGAUGCUAAGCGAAGGAAAUUCCUAUGGGCGGGGACGGAGCCGCUCACAGGCGGGAAAUGCAAAGUGAAUUGGACACGAUCUGAUCUGCAAGGCCUAAAAGGGGAGGAGGGCUAGGUGUGUUACACCUCGGAAAAUUCUCCAGGGCCUUGCGGUUACGAUGGCUCUGGCAGGACUGGAUGAAUGAUGGUCCUUCCUGGGAAAGCUAGGACAUCCCUUGCUCCCAAACGGACCGCAAACUCUUUGCGGCGGCAACCAAGAUUACAGUGGGAGACGGCAACAAGACUUCCUUCUGGGACAGUGGCUGGGUAAAUGGACAAAGGCCAAGGGACAUUGCGCCAAAUCUAUAUCAUAUCUCCAGAAGGAAGAACAGGACACUACAUGAUGCAAUCGCAAAUCACACAUGGAUAAGAGAUUUAAACCUUCUUCAUCAAGGAUUUACUGCCACAUAUUUCACUGAGUACUACCGACUAUGGGUUGAGACCAACCACCUACACCUUACGCCAGGUGUCCCGGACACCAUCACAUGGAAAUUCACGCCGAAUGGGAAAUAUAGCACACAAUCGGCAUACGGAGUACAAUUCAUAGGAUCCAUGACAACUAAUCUCGAGAACCUAAUCUGGAAAACAUGGGCACCAUCAAAGUGCAAAUUCUUCAGCUGGUUAGCCGUGCAAGAUAGAAUUUGGACAGCGGAUAGACUCCAGCGUUGGGGAUGGACCAGUAACCCAACCUGCGCCCUUUGCAGCACAGCGCAGGAGACAGGGUAUCACCUUUUCGCCGACUGCAGUUUCACACGGCUAAUUUGGACGGAAAUUAACACAUGGACGCAAUGCCCUAACGUUGAUCCAAGCUGUUGGGAUAGGCACGACUCCAUACAUAAUUGGUGGAUAGCUACGCUGGCUAGCCCGGUGGCCGAGGGGAACGGGGGGAAAGGGUUGCGAACCCUAAUUAUACUCGUUCUUUGGGAAAUCUGGCUAGAGAGAAAUCGGAGGGUCUUCCAACACAAACACAAGACAGUUACCCAGAUAACCGACAGCAUCAAGAACCAAGCUGUGAUGUGGGUUGCUGCGGGAGCUAAACACUUGGGGGACUUUCUCUCAGGUUGAGUGUCCUGUUUUGUACUAGUUGUCAUAGCGGAGUUCUGCCUCCCCGUUUCGGGGAUGCGAGUGUACAGCUUGUAUAGUACGUUUGUAUACGGCCCGUCGGGCUUUUCCUCUCUUUUAAUAUAGCAGCAGCUUUCCUGCUGGCUCGUUUCAAAAAAAAAAUGGAGAGGAGUACUUUAUAAUCGGUUUACUUAACGAGAACAUCCCACAUCCUUCAAAGAAGGGAAGCAAAGUCAUGUGCAUAAGAAGAUACACUUUCUUUUUGGUUUACUUGUAAGUGUGGAAUCGGAGGGGCAUACUCGUGGGUGUAUUAGUGUGUUACAAUUAAAAAAUGUAUGGCAAUACAAAAUUGUAUUCAUAUAUAUUAGAUAGUCUGCAUGUGAAACUAUGGCACUACGAGAUGUAUGUGUGGAGGUGAUUUCUUUUGUUUCAAUGGUUACAACUUAGAACACUGCUAUAAACAUCCUCGAUCAUCACUUGUCGGCUCCAAACUGUACCAUCAGUGUGCUAAUGAUCUUAGAACAGCUGGCAGUGGGGCAAUUAUUACUGCCGGUUCUAGAAGUGGUAAUAAAUCCAAUUAGCACUGCUGGUUAAGGUUAUCAACCGGGAAUAAAUGAUUGAAAUUUUAAAGAAAAAGGUCCCAAGCUCAAUUUACACUUGAAGUAGGAAUCAAGAUCUCCACUUGAGGAUGAUUUUUUUUUUAAAAAGGAUUCAUCGUGUUCAUCAUUUGAGAACCCGGAUGAAAACAAGCAAGAGACAUGAGGCAUGGUAUGAAUUGGCACCAAAGGAGAUGGAUUGCACUUGGUUUUGAAGAUGCAUUCCGAGUGAACAUAGCUGAUGAUGAGGAGAUGGAAGAACAAGUGGAUCUAGAGUACGGGCAUGGAGGGGUGCAAUUUAGAGGUGCUACGUCUCGACGGAUUUGGUCAUGGGAAAGCCAAAAACGCUGACAUUUUGAAGGAGUUUGCCAUUGUGGAUGAUCUCAUGGCCAUGGAGGAGCUCGCAUAUAUGAUGGUGAGCACGGGCAUGAAUGCCCCCGAUGAGUGCCUCCAAUAAUCAUAUGUUCAUGUGGAUUAUUUUGCAGUGGAGGUAGGGGAGAGGGAGAGGAUUUCGAAAAUGAUAGAGGGAGAGAUAAGAAUGGGUGGGUGAGAUCAGGCUUAGAAUAGAUCAAGGUUCGUCUAAUAAUUCCAGUUCUUGGUCUUUCCUUUUAUGAAUCGGUGGCAAUGCAUUAUUACUGAUGGUUUUAAAUGAACCGAUAGUGAUAGGCCGGCUGCGAUCCUUAAUUUUCUGUCGUGUCCACACAAGAUCUUUUUCUAGCCCCACACCAAUUUACCUUUGAAUUAGACUCUGAAAUGCAUAAUGCAUUAGAUCAAAUGAGAUGAUGUGUGCAAGCAGUCCCAAGACUCAAAUGUGAAAGGGGUUGGAAGGUUUAACAAGAUUUCGACGGUCAGCCGCAGUCGGGUCAAUGGUGUGCUCCCCUGCGCCCGCACGCUGCAGCCAUUUGAAUGGCCUCGAUUAUUUAAGAACCUGUUACAGCUUAGGGAGAGAAAUAACGGCGACAUGUAGAGAGAGCAGCAGAGAUGGCGCUGGUCUUUCGCACGUUGAGAGAGAUUAACCUACACUUUAUGGUCAGGCACACACCAGUUCAAGUCAAGAAGAUCAACAGGCCAGGCCCAGGGGUCAGCAUUUCAAUAGGAUUCUCUCUCUCUCUCUCUCUCUCUCUCUCUCUCUCUCUCUCUCUCUCUCUCUCUCUCUCUACCCAGACGUCCAUAUAAGCAGCACCACCCUCCCCUCACUCCCAAGGCCCCUACACUACACACAUCUCACUCAUAGCUAGUGUGCAUCCGUCCCUCUCCUCUCGCCUGUCACAUUUCGCGCAUUGCACCGUCCAAGCUUGCACGUACGCUCUCACAAGACAGCACGCCGUACCAACCCCAGGCCGCGCCAUGGUGGUGCCUUCGACGACGCCGGUGCGCCAAGAGACGGUGGCGCCGCAGCCGCCGCCGCUGUCGUCCCACGGCGGCGGCAUACCGACGGUGGACAUGUCCGCGCCGGGCGGCCGCGGCGCGCUGUCGCGGCAGGUGGCGCGCGCGUGCGCCGAGCACGGCUUCUUCCGGGCCGUGAACCACGGCGUGGCGCCGGGCGCCGCCGCGCGGCUGGACGCCGCCACGGCGGCGUUCUUCGCGCUGGCGCCGCGCGACAAGCAGCGCGCCGGCCCGCCGAGCCCGCUCGGCUACGGCUGCCGCAGCAUCGGCUUCAACGGAGACGCUGGCGAGCUCGAGUACCUGCUCCUCCACGCCAACCCGGCCGCCGUCGCGCACAGGGCCAGGUCCAUCGACGCCGACGACCCCUCGCGCUUCAGGUACACGAUACCCCACCCACGUAUGCUCUCCUCCGCUGUGCAUGCGCAUACACGUGGCGUACACAUUUGUGAAAAAUAUUGAGCAAUAUUCUCUAAAGUUUAGAGACGAGCUUACUCGUGAAAUAACUAUUGCUAAUAAAUAAAUGCGAAACCACAUUUAGAGAUCCAUGCUAUGGUAGCUAGAGUGAAAUCCUUUACUAAGCUCCAACACGAAUCUCAAAGCUGAUUCGACUUACGCAUGUUAUAUUUAGAGCUACCUUUAGACGCACAACGUUGUCAUUUUCAUCGAUUUGUUCUUCUUAUUAUAAAUACAAACAUUUAUAAAAAAAAUAACGUAUAUGCAUGACAGCUUGGUUCAUCGGUGAUUUAUGCUAGGACUCGUGGUUUUAUAUUAAAAGCUUAAGCUGUUAACGGCGUACGAUAAGGAACAAACAGGUGUCGUGAGGUGUUAAUGUUGAUGGCACCUGGAGUGACAUGCUCCCCUGCACUGUGACUGCAGUGCUCCUUAACCAACAGGCUAUUCCGAUGACAGUAUGAUGUGGUUUGCAUAUCAUAGUCCUACACCUGUCGGAAUGUCUCACAUGAUAUGCUAAGUUCUCAGCAGCAGAGUAUAGUUAGUAUGGGUAGGUUUAUUGGUACGGUUUAAUUUCUUAUCUUUAAUUAAUCUUGUGCCUUGCGAGGAGUAUUUGAUGUUAACCUUUGAUGCAUAUUAUAGUUAAGGGAGCUAGACAUGAUGCGUCCGUGCAUAAAUAAUAGGUUUGGUUUGAGCAAAAAGGAGCUUUCUGCUCGUUUACAAUAUUGGUACUUCGCGUUCAAGAGUCAAGAGAACUUGGGGGGUGUCACGUAUGCAAUUAUUUACUCUAGCUUCCAACUAGCCAUGCUUUUUAUUUGCCUAUCUCUAAUAGUAUAUAUGCAUUACAUGUCAACAUAGAUUCUUUCAAAUGUUAAAAGAUAUCAUAAAAAAUGUUUGUGUAGUUUAUUGGUGUACCUUGGAUUUUGAAGUGUAUAUAUAUUUAUGUGUACACUAUUUGGUUUCCCUAUAAAGCAUCAUUUGAUAGUUGAGAGUGCAAACUUCUCCAACAGACAAGUAGUUUCACAACAAUGUGGGCAUUCAAAAUCAAAACUUAGUUCGAAUAUCUGACUGCUGUUCAAGAAAGGAAGACGUUUAACAAAAGAGACUGUUCCAUGUUACUUUUACCUGUUCUGAAUUUUAGUUAUAUGAUUCUAUCCAUGUGACUGUUAGCACUUAGGGGAUGUUCCUAUCUGGUUCAUGGUAGAACUAAUAUCCUAUGUUGUCAUUGUCAGAAAGGCCCCCAUCAAAUAAAUUGUGCAAAUGCAUGACUACAUAGUUUUCAAAACAAUUAUUAUCGCAAUAAUGGCACAAUUGAUGCCGCAAUAGGCAGAGCAAUGAUAUGUUAGUUCCAACAAUUCAAGAGCAUACAUAGCUAGUUUCUAAAGCAAAAGGAAAGGCACAAAUUGAUGGGACAUAACAAACUUGACAGCUCCACAGAAUGGGCUUAAAAGAUUUUCUGAUGAAAGUUAGGUAUAAGUGUCUUGCCAGAAGAACAUUCGAAAACAGAACAGCGUACAAUCAACUGCUUUCAUUGAACGCUGAAAAAUCAGUUGUACAUUUUGCUUGUGAUAGGGAGAGCCCUUGCCUAUGCUGGGAGAACUCUUAAAUGCCUAACAAUUGACUGAACAUAACAGAUGAGAUAUCUUUAACUAUUUUUGUGCAUUCUGAAUGAGAAAGAUCUCAUCUACACGACACUAGGGGAUAGAGAGCACACAGGCCAGGCAGUGGCCUAAUUCAUCAGAGUUGGUUGAGAGCAAAUAAGAUGAAAGGGACAAGAAAACCCUCCCUCUAAGGUAGUUAGAAGACCCCUCUCAGUGUCAGGUCCCUCUCCAACAAACUAUGUGUAUUUGCAUGUCAAUCAGUCCUCAAAUAUAUGCAGUGCAGUGGUCUUCAAUUAAUGGCAAUACCCAACCACCAACUGAUGCAGCUAGCAACAGAAUGAGUACUUGAAGCACCCACAGCCAUUGGAUAACUCAAACAGCUUAUUCAGCAAACUACACUAAGUUUCAAGUAGAAAAUGAUGUGUUUAGAUGGCCACGGGAUAUACAUCAUAUAUAAAUAUUGAAAUGAAAUUCCCUUUGUUCUCUAUCAGCUAGCCAUGUGUCAUUAAUAUAUUGUCAAUGUUCUAAAAUUCAUAGUAUGGCAGCUAGAAAGGAGUAAGAUUUUAACUGCAUUAUCACAUCAGAAUCUAAGCUUAGGCAAAGCAGUUGGGAAACAUACAAUUAUUGUAGGAUGCUAUUUGAAUUGAUUCCAUGAGAAUUAACUUCAUGAACUAAAGCAAGAAUGCUAGCUGCAAGAAUAAAAUAGAAAUGGCAUCAGAAUCUUUGCAGUAACCAUCUAGCGUGGAAUACAGGUAAUAGCAAGUAGGGCCCCAUAGUAGAGAAGUACAAAAGCCUGAUAGGAAUAAAAAUGAUCCCCAGACCCCCCCCCCCCCCCCCCCCCCCUCCUAAGAGCAUAUCCAUGCUAUCCAUAUAAAGCCAAGCAAAGGAAAGGAGGCACACAUGCAAAGGGUCCUCUUUAUGGUAAGAUGAAUGAGAUGUCCCAGGGGGUGUGUAGUGUCAGGGCAGUGAUGUGUGAUACCAAGCACUGAUGGGUCUAUCGAUGGAGCAGUGGAAAAAAGCAUGCCCAAUCCUGUCGAAAACCCAUUUGCCCAUUGGAAAAUUGGUCCAAAGUUUCAUGUACGUCUGAUCCAGAGCUAUCCAUGCAUCACAAGACCCGAAUAUGUAUAGCAUGUGACUGGAUUCUGGUUCUGCUGCACAGCCCAGAUGCAUCCAUAGCAUCAAGCUAUCGUCUUUUCGAGGCUGCAGCUUUUGAGUUGCUGCAUCUUCACACAUCAAUCAGUCAAAAUCUUCUCAUCUUUCUUCAGUCUCCUUUCUCUGUCAUGCCAUGGCACACAUUCAAUCGAUCUCUGCAAUCUUUUGAUCAAAUUAAUCAUGUGCGCAUUUUAACUCACAUGCUGAUGUUGUUGUUUCAGUACUGUGGUAAACGAGUAUGUGGGAGCAGUGAGGCAGCUUGCAUGUGAGAUCCUGGACUUGUUAGGAGAGGGGCUAGGGCUCAAGGACCCCAGAUCCUUCAGCAAGCUUAUCACAGACACUGACAGUGACUCACUCUUGAGGAUUAACCACUACCCUCCAGCGUGUACCAUUCACAAGCUUGACCAUGACGGCCAGUGCAAGAUGAAGAGCAUUGUCAGGACCAAGAAUGGCAAUGGCGUGAACCCGUCGGCAGGUGCACGGAUCGGGUUCGGUGAGCACUCUGACCCACAGAUCAUUAGCUUGCUCCGAGCAAACGACGUCAAUGGCCUGCAGGUGCUUCUGCCGAACAGUGACGGCAAGGAGGUCUGGAUUAAGGUGCCGGCCGACCCGUCAGCAUUCUUCGUCAAUGUUGGUGACCUCCUCCAGGUAAAGGCACGAACUUACCUAAAAACAAACAGUACUAGAUGGAUUAACUUAAAGAAAAUUGCUUUUAUGAACUACUUAGGAAUAAAAUUAGCAGGCACUAAAACAAGCAAAGAGAUAAGCACUACUCAGCACCCAACCAUUCGCACUAUGCACCUUCCAUUUCAGUGUUUCAAAAAAUAGAUUCUUUACUUACUGAAAACAGGAAAAAUAAAUCCACCUUUAUUUGGUUCGGGUUCCGAUUAGACACCAGCUAUUGCCUCUUUUAUGAAAAGAUGCCCCGACACUGAUAUUUCUGGACACAUUGGACUGCAUCAAGUACAUCUUACCAGCUGACAAGAGUUUCUGCUUUCAUCUUGUUACUACAUCUGAACCUAACAACAACUACUAGCCCAUGGUGCAGCAAUACAAUACUGUCCCUCUGAAACUUGCUUUGAACUCACCUCUCCUUUGCCUUUCUUGUUCCCAGGCUCUAACAAAUGGGAAGCUGGUAAGUGUCCGGCACAGGGUAAUUGCAAGCGCCUGCAGGCCAAGGCUGUCCACGAUCUACUUUGCAGCGCCACCGCUGCAUGCACAAAUUUCGGCCCUCCCAGAGACUAUCACAGCUGCCUCACCACGCCAGUACCGGUCCUUCACCUGGGCCGAGUACAAGAAGACAAUGUACUCGCUCCGCCUGAGCCACAGCCGUCUUGAUCUCUUCCACGUCGGCGAUGAUGAUAACAGCAAUGUCGGCAAAGGAGAACAAGAAUAGGGAGCACUUACUGAACUGCAGGAGGUGUGUGGUGGGGACUAGGUAGGUAGAAUUGUCCCCAAAAUUUUGGCUCUCUGGCUUCCAUUGCUAGACAUCUCAGGCUAUGAUGGUGUAGGGUUGAGAGUCUGCCAGUGUGUAAUAGUAGUUAGCAUUGUACAGAAGUCCUGGGUUGUAUGGUACUGAUGUAUCGUUGCCUGCUUCGGCAGUUUGUUGUCCCCCUUAACUUUUAUUGUACUCUCCGUCCCUCCUUUCUAGUGUUGCCUUUGCUUAAAGAAACCUUUUCUUUGCAUGAAAGUGAGAUCUAACUCAGACUCCAGGUGACAAGAUCAAAAACUUUCAGGCUGAAAAGACUUUAAAAGUUCCCACAAACUACAAGCAAGUUCAGUUUGGGGCACUGCAAAAAAUGUUCUAGUAGAUAUUGACUAUAAUUAAUUCCGUAAACCCAUGCCAUCACAAAUUAGUCCCCACUUGCAAAUAUUAUCAAACUUAAUCCUAUUAUUAUUUGCUAUGAAUAAUGAGUACAUUAUUUAACAGAAUGGACAUAAUUACAAGAUAUGCAAUCGUUACAAAAUAUAAAAAUAAUUAGAUAAAAUUCUCUAUCUUUAGCAUUCUAUUUCUAUCAAGGCAUCAGAAAUCAAAACAAAUCACGAAAUGUAGAUUCAGACAAAAGAAUAAGCCAACGUGUAGAGCUUAAUAGAAAUGGGCGUAUAUAUCGCAGUACAUCCUAAAAUGGGAUUUCGGUGGUGAAUUUACAAAAGCAAGUGCUUUUCUCAAUGAUAUCUCAAUCCAAGUUGGUUUGCUGUCCUCAACAGCCCGUACUACUUUAUGACAGCAAAACAUGAGCAUGAUUUGAUAAAUUCGGUGUAUUGGCCCCUCCGAUAUAGUCACGCACCUACAGUUGUUUACACUUCUACAGUGUGAAUCUCUCUGAUUGAUAAAUCAUAAAUUAAUACUGUACUACAUUAUAUAUGAUGGCAACUAAAAGAAACUCAGUGAUUUUACCUAACAAAGAUGUCAAAUUUAGCUGCAUGGCGUGCAUAUGUGUUGAAAAUUCUUUCAAGAGAGGUGGUAUGCAGUCUUCAGGCACCUCAAGCUCCUACUUGCAAGUUGCAAGCUACUAGAAUGCAGGCAACCUUGAGUUUUCCUACAGCAUAUUGGUCUCCUGGAGGUCAGAAAAAAAGAGCACAUGCCUGAUACGUAAAGAUUCUUGUUUAAUUCUCCACACAGGGUGCCAUAGUCUUAGACUCAGAAGUCAUUAUUGCAGUCAAUCAGGGUAUUUACUGGCAAAAUAUUUAGAAAAAUAAUGUAUAGUGAUUAGUGAAAGAAAACUUGAAAGCUAUUUUAUCAGCAUACACCUGUAACAAUGGAGAGAUCCACCAUACGACACAAGUUUAUGCUGCAUUGAAAAAAUAGCUAUUGUUUGAAAAAGACAUAUUCUGUCUUCUGUGCAAAUUUUGGAAAAUGCAUAAUACUUGGAAGAUAAAAUAUAGCUAUGGAACAAAGGUAUGCAUAAGCUACCAAAAGGAUGACAAAAGAUCUCAAAAUAAAAAUAUUAACAGCACCUGUUGCCUGCAUAGCUGCAGUGGAAAAGCCCACUGAAGGGAUAGAACAAAUACAAUCACCACUCAAGUACUCAACAAAAGUUUGGUACUAUAUCUCCUAAACCAUGCUUUAGGAACGAGUAAUCUACUUCAAAUGGUAAAAAAAAUGACAAUUUAAUUAUUUAUGUUAUGAAGUGCUAGCAAUUAAGUGGUGCAUAGCCAAUAUCUCUGCUGCACAGUAUAAACUAUAGAAGAAACAGAAUUUGUUCUUAGCAUCUGCAAUUAAAAGAAUCCUUGGAUAUUUCAAGCUCCAGUAAUUAUUAAAAUAAAGCAUAAAAAAUAUCAGCAGAACUGCUCGGAAUAUUUGCAGUUAUGCUCAAGCCCGUAAAUACAAACUCUAUCAGAACUAAGUGGGCAGAACACUAGUAUUCAUGCUCUAUUAUUAUAAUUGAGUUAUGUCCUCUAGCCUCAAUAAUUUCAUUUUCAGGAUAGAUGUUACAGCGUCCCUGAAAGAGGAUCGAAGCAGGAAAUUCAAUAUACCAAGGCAUGCCUACAUGAUCGGCUCAUUCAGUAAGAGUAUGACUGUACUUGCGAUGCUCGGUUUGAUGUGUACUUGAUUGGCCAAAAUAGCUUCUGAACCAGAACACACUUCAGUAUCUACUAGAGCCUAAAUUGUUCAACUCCAUUCUUGUGUUCUAUACAAUAUGUACAUGGGCAGAUGGUUGUGUAGCACAUGGAUAUCACGUUCUUCAGAUGGAUAGUUGAACUUGAACUGCAAUCUGGUCUUCUGACAGUAUCAAGAAAAAAUCUGGUCUUCUGAGUUCGGACAGCACGCAGAAAACCACAUUCCAGGGAUCAAUCAGAAAACCAGCAAAACAUUCUACACCUGAAAGAACAGGAUUUUCUAUAAAUUCUAACCCAACCUCAUAUUAGUCAAUAGUCAAAGCUUUGAGGGAACAAUUAGUAGACCCACUAAAAUGAACACAAACCGGAGUCCGGAGACAUAGAGUUUGCUCCCAAGAAUUCGUCGCACGUGCAUAACUAAGACAAAAGCGGCAACUCCAUGUACUUACUUCAUUUUGCAACUGCAGGCCCGCACGAUGCGGAUGACGAUGUUCCUGAAGACGCCGCACUCUCAGACUCCCAGUCCCAGAGUGGCAAGGACGCCACCGGCGGGGGCACAAAACCCACGCCGAGCGAACAACUGGUUGCAGGUCAAUACCUUUACGAACUCACCAACUACGCCGCCGCCGCAGAAACCCAUGGCGCCAAUCGAAGCAGCACCCGGACCUCCUCUCUGGCCGCUUCCGCCGUCGUUUUUUUUCCCUUUUCUUUUUAUUUUGAGAGAUCCGCCGUCGCAUGCGGCCACCGGCCACCGGCCAACCUGUGGAAUGGUGAAGAACCGAAGAUGACGACGACUCGUGCGAAUUGGGCCGAAUCCUUCACUCAAAAGCCCAAACCAAACAUUGAGGGCAACGGCCCUCCGAGUUUUGGCCCGUUAAUUACAAACAAAUAAUUAGACAUUACUAAAAACUCUGAUGCUUUUUGCCUCCGAAAAUAAACUCAUUUCUUUCGUUUUUUAUGAAAACUGUUUAACUAUUAGUUCCUCCAAUUCCAUUCUCUUCGACAGCAGUUUUGCCGAUUUGGCUAUGCUACUAAUAGAUCAACGUUGACUCAAAUCAAUCUUUAUAUCUCUCAUUCAUCCAAACGUUAUAGAUCUCAAAUUCCCUGGUAUUAGAGCUGCUCAGCUGCAUGCUAUUCUUGUUCAUGAACCUUGUGUUAGCAACACCUUCCUUAAUCCAAUAGAACACCGGUGGUAGUUUGAUACAAUAGGUAGCUGAGUUUAUAGGAUACAAAUAUGAGAGGAAUAGAGUUCGGGAUAGGGCAGCAAAACAAGGGAUCGAAGAAGGAUCAGAGGUACAUAAGAAAGUAGAAGAUAAUCUAGAGGAGGAGGAAGAGUCCGAGAGAAUGAGGAAGAGGAACAGAAUGAACAGUUGGUUAUGAUUCUGAAUAAUUCAUUGAUGUCCUCUCCUGUGCACUUCAUGCAAAUUUUUUAUUUUUAUAUUUUUAUUUUACAAUUUUGCAGAAAUAAAUAGGUGAUCCAAAAAAUUGCAGAAAUAAAUAGGCGAUCCAAAAAAUUGCAGAAAUAGACCUCUGCCGUCGGACCAAACAGCAGUAAAGGGCUACCGCCGUCUCAACCGGUGGUAGGAGAAGAUACCAUCGGGUGAAACAACAGUAGCUUCUCGCGUCCGCCACGUCAGCGUACAAAUUCGCUUACCGCCCUCUGAUCUAGCGGGCGGCACACGGUUUGCAGUGGUGCGUGGGACGAGGUUGUUACCGCUGUUCCAUCCGGUGGCAUCCGCUUUCCGCUGGAUCAGCGGGCGGUAACAGGCCUUGCCAAUUCAAACGGCGGGAGCGGGAAAGAUAUCGCCAAAUCAACUAGCGGGCGCUCCCCCACAUCUUUAAAAGCCAUGGGCGGCCGCCCCUGAGCGCACGCACCAUGCCAGUUCGCCUGCCCACGCGUAGAACUGAGCGAGAGAGCGAGCGGUCACGAUAGAAUAGGAAGAGAGAGAAGGUCCAGGAGAGAAGAAGAAAGGAAGGGAGGGAGGGAGGAGAGGAAGGGAGGGGAGGGGAGUAGGGUUGAGAUUGAAGCCCAGAUCUUCAUUUCAUUUGAGGUAUUUUUACUAAUCCCCUAGUUUAGCUUAACUCGUAAUAGGUAGAUGCAAUAGUUGAUGUAGUAGCUAUACAAAGGGUGUAAUGUUAAUUAGUAGAUGAAAUCUAGGUGUUCAUAUGAUAUAUAGAAAAAUAUAAGUUAGUCGGUAUAGUGGAUUUAGCUUAGGUAUUUAUGUUCUAGUAAAAUUAGUUUGUUGAUUUAUUUAGAUAAAUUUAAGAUGAAUAUUAUUCGCAAUGCAAGAGUUAUAUUUUGUAUAGGUAUUUAGAAUGUAGGUGUUUUAGGGGUUAGUUGAAAUUACUACAUUUAGUUAUAAUUUUUGUUCAUGCCGUGCAUAUCUUUAUAUAUACUUUCGGAACAUAGGGGUGUUUAGGGUUAGUUAAGUUUGGUAAUAUUUAGUAAUGGUCUCAGUUAAUGUUGUGUAUAUUGACCGGGUAAAAUAAAAUGAAUUGUUUAUAUAUUUAGAUAACUCUAAAAUUGUUAUUAUUGACAAUGCUCGAGUUAGAUGUUUGUAAUGUAUGUUGAAAUGUAGGUGAUGUUGGGGUUAGGUAAAUUAAGUAUAUGAGAGUAAUAAUAUCUCUUCGUAUCGUGUAUAUUGACAGGCAUAUCGGAAAGUUUAUUUUUCCAAGUGUUCUAUAGUCGGGGGGAGGUUAGAUAUGGUCCAGAAGGGGUAGAUUUGUCUGAAUUUCAGUCGUUCUACAAGUAAUUACCAAGAGUAAGAGAGAGGACUUGGGCUUCAAUAUGUAACUGGUUAUUUAAGACUUUCGAUCUUGAUAAAGAUCAAGUGGAGCUGUCUGUUAGGGUUUACGGCCUGACAUAAACUUUUGGGAGUUGAUGCCGCUUGAAGGAACCCAGAACUGGAGGGUCUAUGUAAAUGGUUGUACUAAGCGCAGUUUACCGCUCAUAUUGUUUGUUGAAGUGUUCAAGAAAAUUGGAUCUAGCAGUCAAAUGUAAGAAGAAGUGGGAGGUGCUGAAGUUAAAGCCGAGGAAGGUGUGGAGAGUAGUAAUGGGAAAAAUGAAGAAGAUAAUGAAGAUGGGACAGAAGAAGGAGAUGCAGAGGAUGAAGAUGCAACUUGUGAGCUAAAUGGCGAGGCUGAUGAGGGGGAAGACAUCCCUGGAUUAGUUGAGCAGGUGGAGAGAAAAGGAGAAGAGGCCAAUGGGAUGAUGACUCGUUGGAUAAGGAUGAUGCUAAUCCUAUUCCGCGGAACUGGUCAACUUGUGACCAUUCCGCCCUACAGGUCAAUGUAGGGACAAAAUAUCCCUUGAUAGUACAGGGAGAAUGAGGUUUGUGUGGGUGCUUUGUACCCUAGUAGGGAUGAGGUGAAGGCAGCUGUGAAGUGAUGGUCCACUUUAUCUUUGCAACGCCGUUCAGGGGUGGUGAAGAGCAACCCAAUAGUGUAUGAUGUGUGUUGUGUCAGAAGCAAUUGCCCAUUUAGGGUGCACGCAUACAAGGGGACGUGGAAGGAUUACUGGGAGGUGACUAGAGUGGUGGAGCACCAAUGUUUGCUGGAUGAAUUGGUUGGACAACACCACACCUCACUACUGAUUUUGUUGCUCAAUACAUGUAUCCUCAGAUAGUGGAGAAUUCUAGCUACGAGCUCAAGUUGAUUGUUUGUGACAUAGAGAAGUUCAAGUAUAAGAUUAGCUACCACAAAGCUUACCGAGCCAAGCAGAAGGCAUUGGAGAUGAAGUGGGGUACGUAUGAAAUAUCGUAUGAUAAUCUCCCUGUCCUGUUGCACACCAUAUGACAAACAAACCCGGGAAGCUACUAUGACCUGAAAGUCUAUCCAUGUGCUCAGUUUCCAGGAAAACAUGUCCUACAGCGGUCAUUCUUGGCCUUGGGUCAUUGCAUUGAGGCUUUUUAGCGAUGUCGCCUAGUCAUUUGCAUUGAUGGUACAUUUUUGACUAGAAGGUAUAAAGUCACAAUCUUGAUAACUAUUGGAUCCGACGGUAACAAUCAAGUGCUGCCACUGACAAUCGCCUUUGUGGAGAAAGAGUCUGGAGAUAGUUGGUAUUGGUGCCUGGAGAGGGUGAAGCAGAUAAUUGUGAAGGACGUGGAGGGUGUUUGUCUAAUUCAUGAUUAGCACAAAGGCAUUCUACAAGCAAUCGAAGACCUACAAAAUAGCAGUGUGGAGCGUUUCAGGGUGGCGUAGUGUUCAGACUUGAAGAAUACAUGUUGCAUGAGGCAUAUGGGGGCAAACUUCCAUAAUCAAUUUAAAAACAAGACCCUUACGAAGACUUCACUCUUCACGGCCCAUGGACCAUGCAGCAGACAGCCCAGACAUGAGGUCCUAACACCUUGCCCUGCACACCCUAAACUACCACCAUUCACAUGUUAAUUACAGUUACAAUACUCAAUUUUCAAUUAUUCAUACCCUAAUUCCACCUUCGCAUCCUAAUUGUAAUGGUGCUAAGAUAGACAUGCGGAGUACAGGAGAUGGUGACGAUGGUGAUUUUUUUGAAAGUGAUGUAGGUGGUUUUCUUUGGCGGCUGUACACCUCGUACCCAAAGAUGCUAGCAAUGUUCAAGCAGAGAUUUGAGAUAGAGAGAGUAUAUGGGAGGAUCAAUUAAAAAAAAUGGAGGGUACUUCCACAUCAUGUUAGAUCAAGUUGCUUAAAAUAUGCAAAAAUUUUGAUGCAAGAAUUACAGGAAGUAAUACUGAACACUUAAAAGACUAUAGGGAUAAAAUAUAAUCGGUACAAGAGGUUUAACUAAACUAAUAUUACAGUUGAGGGAAGUGUUAGAACUGAGGUUUAAAUUAGUACAAUAUUUUUUCAAAAGCAAAUUAGUACAAGGUUGCAACACGGUAUUACAAUAAGAAGUUAGCAUAUGUUAUGAGCGUGGAUUGAAAAAAAAGUAAGUGGGAAACAAAGCCACGCUGGUGGGUGGACCGUUCCGAACCUACUCAUAGCAACGAUUGACUGUUGACCUGGGCUGGACCCGUCUGUUCCAGAUCUCAUUCUUGCUCACAGGGAUGGUCGCAAGCCCAGCCACAUCAGCGACUCAGUGCGUACCAUCCCCCACGUAAAGCCGACGUCACUGCCUGCACCCAUACGCCCUGGCAAAACACAAGACAAGGGCAAACCCAUCAAUUUAUUCCACCCUUCUCCCCGUCUUCCCGAAUCCCAAGCCUCUUCGACUCGCACCCACACCGGAUGCGGAUUCAGUAUCGUCGCUUCUUGAAGGCACGUCGUAACUUCUCCUGCCAAAUCUACUGUGAAUCACGCAUCCAAAGGCUAAAAUGAACUGCAGCCUCAAAUCUUAUCCAUCCGAGCUUUUUCACCAGGGGAGUUCGUCAGCAGAUGGGGGGUGCUGCUCUCCCGCGCGUUACACCACCUCCCACGCACCGCGCUGCUCUCCUGUGGGCUCGUGUGCUACCGUUGGAUAGGAGGUUCCCGCGAGUUUGCCGUGGAGGAGAGGGAUGUGAGCACCGACAGGACGCCAUUGUCAGCUACAUUAGUAAGCUAUUUUCCUUCUCGUGACCUAAGCAUGUGCAGAAUACAACUAAUUCACCUCACAUUUGUAUCAAUCUGAGAUCCCGUGACUAUAAAAAGUUAAUUUGCUCAAUUUCAUGGUAGGAAAAUCAUAUGCUUUUUUGGGCCAUAUUUAUGUAACUAUGAGUGCUGUGAAGGCAAUAGUAAAAUUUGAGAAGGGAACACUUUAGGUUGGUUUAAGAUUUAGAAAUCCGGAUGAGGUUUGGAAGUUUUGGACUGUGUAUGGGGUUGCAGAGACUUUGAUGUGAGGAAAAGGUAUGCAAAUAUAAGCAGCUAUGAUGGUAAGGUAACUUCAUACAGAUUUGUUUGUUCUAAUGAGGGUUAUCGAAGAAAAAGGAAAACAAAUAAUAUGAGAAUUGACUGUAAAGCUAGGUAACCGUAGUAAGCUAACUAAAUCUGCUGAACCGAAAAAAGAAAAAACCAUAGCCGAAAAAAGAAAAAACCAUAGGUAUGUUCUCAACUUGCAAUAUAGAAUUUCUAUAUAUUGUUACCAUUCAUAGCUAAUUAGUGAUACUUUUGUUGGCAGAAACGAAAAUAAAAUGAUGGUGUACAGCCUCCAAAGGAAGUGGAGAAUGACGGCAACAACAAAGGAGCAAUCAUGGACGUUGAUUAGACUUAAUAUGUGCUAGUUAUGGAUUAAUUAGGCGUAAUAUAUUCGGCUCGUGAGUUAGCCUUCAUUUAUGCAAUCAAUUUUAUAAUUAAUUUAUAUUUAAUACUUCUAAUUAGUAUAAACAUUUGAUGUGACCUGGAUUGAAACUCUUAGUCAUGAAACUAAGGGGGUGUUUGUUUCUUUAGCACCUUCUAAAAUUCCUAUCACAUCGAAUAUUUAGAUACUAAUUAGGAGUAUUAAACAUAGACUAAUUAUAAAACCAAUUGCAUAGAUGGAGAUUAAUUUGCGAGACGAAUCUAUUAAACCUAAUUAGUCCAUGAUUUCACAAUAUGAUGCUACAGUAAACAUGUGCUAAUGAUGGAUUAAUUAGAAUUAAUAGAUUCGUCUCAUAAAUUAGCUUCCAUCUGUGUAAUUAGUUUUAUAAUUAGCUCAUAUUUAGUUUUUCUAAUUAAUAUUCGAAUAUUUGAUGUGACAAGUUUUAUAAUUAGCUCAUAUUUAGUUCUUCUAAUUAACAUCCGAAUAUUUGAUGUGACAAGGUCCUACGAACCAAACACCCCCUAACACUGAAGGCAUAUAUCGGUACUGACUUGAUAAGCAGAGAAGGUACGCCGUGCUUUAAGAAGCAAAGCGCUGAAUCUGUGUCCACCCGCACCCGCACCCGCCCCCACCGUCUCGAGUCUCUCGACUCCUCUUUCCCCUCCCCGAGUCCGUGCUCGGCUCGUCUCGUCGCCGCCCGAACCCCUCGCUUUGCCCCCCCCUCUCGAAGUCUCCCUGCUCCCCAAACCCUAGCGCCCUCCCCGAUCGCGCCCCGAGCCCCAUUCCGGUACGAUCCGAUCGGCCUUGCGUUCCUCUUUUCCGCGAACUUCGUUUGAUUUUCCGCGAUUUUUUUGGCUUAAAUUUCCCCCCCUUGGUGGUUCGGUGGGGGCGUGGGUGCAGCGGGGGAGGCGGCGAUGUUCUUCUCCGGUGACCCGUCGGCGCGGAGGCGGGUGGACCUCGGCGGGCGGAGCAGCAAGGAGCGCGACCGCAAGGUGCUGCUCGAGCAGACGCGCGAGGAGCGGCGCCGGCGGCAGGGCCUCCGCCUCCAGAACUCAUCCGCCACGAAGAUCCAGGUCUGUUCACGACUCGCGCCUGUGCCCGUGGGGUGCCUGGGGAGUAGGUGUUGCAGCAGAGGGAUCGGGCGGGGGUUUAGCUAGCUAGCUCAGUGUGAUGGGCAUUGAGAUCCAGCUAUGGCCUUUUCAGCGUUGAUGAAUGGUGAUGGUUCGGCUGGUUUAGUUUUGGUGGAUACAGGUUCUGUGUUAGGAUAGAGCUGUAGGCUUAUGGGCAAUUGGGCAUUAAGGAGGACCUCUAGCUUGAGCAGUUGUAGCGAUUAUGUGAUAUACAUUGGCUCAUCUCCUUUUCUGUUUAUCUGAUGAGAUGGCCCGAGGGGAAUGAAUUAAUGUGUCCAUACUGCCUGUCAACGCAAGAUAUGGAUAGCUGAUGACAUUGCGUUUGAAGAAAUUUUAUCUACUUUUGAAUGAUUAUGCGGGAAAGUAUGGGAAUCAGGGGGUGCGGUGCCUACUCGACAAAUUCUGGCAAUUUCCUAUUGGUUUGCUGGGUGUGAUGAGGCAAGUGGAGAGUGGAGGAGGUUCAUGCUGUGUUCGCCUUGUCAUUUUGUGUCGGUUAAUGGUAUGCCCCCCUUCUGGUUUGUCGAGCUUUACAAUGUGAGGGAAACUCCUCUUCUUUGCCUUUGUAGGUUAGGCUAUGUGCAACGCCACGAGUUGACAUGGCGAUUAUCGUCAAUCACCUGUUUUUGUUUACAAUGGUGGACAUUGUCAUGGGAGAGCAUGGGGGGUGCUCUUGAGUGACAUCACCGCUCGAGAAGGUGUUUCGUACUUUGAGGGUCCUGUGGAGUUGGGUGCUACUAAUCAGCAUAAAAGAAAAUUAUAAGAGAAGAUUGUGUGCAAGCAACUGAUGCUUAAACAGCCUCUUAUUUUGUUAAACCAUCUAAGCUCACCUAUUAAACAUCUCCUGUUGGAAGUUAGGGCUCUUUUGUAGGCACUUCAUCAUGAUGUAGCCAGUAUUCUCUCUUUAAGUGUCUAUGCAAGCAUCUUUGCAUUUUACUUGCCCUUAUGGUAUACCAGAUCCCAAUAUCAUGUUGAACCAUCAUUGACUGUCUUUAAGAGAAGAGCCGCUCUGCUACAUUUUCCUUAUAUGCCCCUUGAAAUGAUGAUUACAUUCUGCUUAAGUACACAUACUUGAGUUCACAAAAUAUGGAACUUGACUAAUUAUAAGCUGCAGAAAUUCUUCAGAAGUAAGAAGGCUUUGGAAUUGGCACGUUCAGAAAUUCGGAAGAACUUUUGCUCUACUUUCGGGGAGCAUUGUGAGAGGAUAGACUGGUAUGCAUCGUCUAAUCCUAAAGAUACAUCAUAUCCCUUUCGUUGUCAAGCUCUCUGAUUACCUUGCUACUGAAACAGGAAAAACUUUGGCACUAAUUCUGACUUUCUUCGUCAAUUGCUGUUUUUCUUCAAUGCAAAUGAAGACAAUGAUAUUGCUAUACUUUGUCAAGUCUGCAAUUUGCUGCUGCAAUAUGUUAAACGUGGUGGUAAGUAUCAUAAUAUUAUUUAACAAUGUUCCCCCUUUUUGCCACCGCAUGCAGAUAUCUCAUUGUUAUUUCUUAGAGCCUAGAUUGCCCUGUGCCAAAAUUGAAAUUUUUGAGUUGUAUCUGGUUUAUACUAUAACCUAACAAAUUUAAGUAGGCCAAUUACUUUUGGUGUAAGGUUUUAAUUAAGAACCACAAAAGGAAAAUAGAAUUAAGGCAUUCAGGUGUGCUCUUGUUCUGAUUUCGAUUUACUCCUUAAUCCUGCUCGUCACAAAUCACGAGAGAUAGUACAAUGAAUGCUAAUUUGGAAGAGGAUACAUCAAAAUUUGUGUUGAUUUCCAUGAUGGAUAGUCCAAAUAUUAAUUUGGAAGAGCUAAUUUGAAUAGAUACAUUGAAUGACAACUAGGUAAUAUGGUAUGAAUUUGCCCCAUUAUGUUGUUCUGGGUUAAUUUUCUACCAAGCCAUGACAGCAAAUAUGCACUCCGUUUAAAUUUUACUAGCUAAUAAUGUUCGUACUUAACAGAAAAGAUUAUGCCCUUCCCUCUUAUACCCUCAUUAGCUAGGUAUUGACUCUAUAUAUUGGUUUUAGUUAUCUCAUUUGCUUAUUCUUUUUAUCCCUAUUCGAUACUGGGAUGGUUAGUGUCUCUUUGUUCCAUAAGUAAAAUGAUCUUCUGUUUGUGUUUUUAAGUAACAUGUCAAAGCUAAUCUCUCUAAACUUUGAUAUUUGAUUAUUUUAUUGCAUUUUUGAACUCUUUGGACACUGGAGCUUUCUAGUUAUUAUAAUAUUUGUUAUGAUUUCCAUUUAAUCUGUGCAUAAUCUUCUCAUUAUGAUAUUCUGUGUUUGUUUUCCUUGUUUCUAUAGCAUCGGCUGUAACGGUAUUUUCUCCAUUUUAUGCAGGAGAUACUGUAACUCUCUUUGCUGGUGUAAAUGACUCCUCACUGCAACCUCUUGUUGCUCACAGAGUAAAAAAACUUGCACUCAUCUGUGUACAAGCAGUCUAUCAAAAGAGGUAAGUUAUGCAAAGCUGGUUUUUGGGACAUUCUUCUUUAUUCUUCAAUUGUUUCUGACCACAUGUUUAAAAGUAUCAUCUUUUGUCUUUGAUGGGAGACUCCCCCACUGUACAUAUGCAAGCUUGUCUGCAGCAAAAAUUAACAUCAUCACAUGUGACUUGUUUUAUGUUUUGGCAGGCAUGAUUGGGGCAGCCAACUUUUGACAACACCUGGAAGUGCAUCAGUGCCUUCUGUCUCAUUAUUAGAAACUGUAGCUUGCUUGAUAAAUCCUAAGCUUCCAUGGAACUGCAAAGUAGUUGGGUAUCUUCAGCGCAGAAAGAUCUAUUGCUUAUUCCGGGGCAUUAUUAUAUCUAUACCGGUAAGUUCUGUCUCUGUUUCUGUGCUUAGUCUUCUAUUUCUCCUCUGCCGUUGUUUGGAUUUUAGCUGAGUUGAUCAAGAUUUAUUAAUUCAGAAACAAGUGAUAAUUGCACUUAUUCAAGGGUAAAUGCCUCGAGUUCCUUCACUUGAUUGAUAUAUAACUGCUGGUUUCAACUCCUUUUAAGAAACAACUCCCUUUCUGUAACAUGAAGCUGUGAUGUUUUGUUCUGUAACACCUUAGACAUGUGACAGUGACCCUUGUGUAACCAUGAGAAACCAAUCGAACCAUGCGUACCAACCAGGUUUACCUUUGUAGGCAAACCUUAUUCUGCCAUUCAUUUGUAUGGUAGGUUUGCGGGAAGAACAUCAUUUGUCUAGUGGAAGAUACAUGAAGUUGGCUGUAAUGAGCAUACUAUACUUAAACGAUUUGUUCUAUGAUUUUUUUUCUGAUGGAUAUGAUCAUGAUUCAGCAAAAGGACAGAAGUUUUGGACAUUUUGAUAGUGCGUCUGCUCUGGAGCAAGUUCUCAUGCUUGUUGCUUCACAUGUUGGCCACCAUCCUUGUUGUUGUCCGGUGGUGGAUCCAAGAUGGAGUUUCUCCUCUCAGCUUCUGUCCAUCCCUUUUCUACGGCAUCGUUUGCCGCAACUCAAGAAGGUCAGCAUUUCCCUUAGUUUCUUGUUUGGCCAUUCCUUACUGGAACAUUCCCAAUAUGACCCACAAACAUAGAAAUUGCAAUACAUUUUGCUCAGUAUCAUCGAACCCAUAUUAUAUGUGUGUGUGUGCUGUUAUGGAGUCUAAAGUCAUACUGUAGUAUUAUUAUCUUAUAUAAACUAUAUCUCUAUGAAUUUUGUGUCUGAGGAAUUAAGUGCCUUGACCAUUUACAAUGGCAAUAUAUCUCACAUGCUUGCCUUUCAUACUCCAGGUUUUCUCAGUUAAUGGACUCAGCAAAUACUAUAUCCAUCAAAUAGCCAGCUUUUUGCCCAGUCUUCGUGAUGUUCUUCCAAAUGAUAUAUCAGCUAAUCAUCCAGGAUAUGCGUGUGUCCUUGCAAAUGUUCUUGAAGCUGCAACCUGGAUUUUGUCCGAUGCAAAGUUUGCUUCUGACACAGUAGGUGUUUUACUUCUUACCUUUUGGGUUUUCUUCUGCAUUUUGUUUAAGGUGAAAAUGCACCAAAAGCAGCUAUUUUUUGGGGGAAAAUGAGCAUUUAGAUCCCUAUCCCAAACUUAGCUUUUAAGGCCUCAUUGAAGAUAAUUAUUUUUUUGGUCUAUCCCUAUAUUAAUUUAUUAUCUUGAUUGAUCAAUUAUCUAAGUCAAAUAGCAGGUUAUUUGUUACUGCUGCUUUUGUUUUCACCACAUAGGCUGCAUGAUCAUAUUAUGUUACUUGCAAACUGUAAAUGUUUCUUUUGUUCUUUUCUUAUGUAUAUAAGAAGAUUAUAAAUCUGAGUUCAAUACUUGCUUCACUUUUGCCCAUUCAGAGUAUAGGCUGCCGUGUUAGCCUCUUUGCAGGUCUGAUCUCUUUAGCAUUCAACAUUCUUGUCGCACUGUCAUGGUUUUUAAAUAAUAUUCAUUUUCUUGCGUAUUUGGUCUAAGCUCUUAUGGAUGUGAGGAAGAGUGCUUCUAAAUUUUUUUCAUAACAUAGUUAAUUUUAGUUUCAGAUGCACGGCUCUAAGGGCAGCAAAAAAUAUAUCGGAAACUAUAUAAUCUAAUUUGGUUACAUAUUCAAUGACACCUUUUCAUUUCCUAUGUUGGUUAUUUGAGUUAUACUGUUUUUAGCAAUUAGCAGGGUCUACUUUCCUCCCUUCUUAAUGGCUCCUAAUAGAAAAACUCUUAUUCUUGUGAUGGUAAACGCAUGGGUGCUGGUUUGUUGUCCACAUCUGUAAUGUUUUGGUUUAUAAAUAUGUUCCAUGUAUACUCUUUCCAAACCAGGCAGCUGACAUCAUCGCUGUUUCUACAUCGUUGUUGGACACGUUACCAGCAGUCACAUCACCUACUGAAAGUAAGUUACAUGCCAUCGAAUUAUAAGAACCUUUGGUCUGUUGGUGUCAUAGUUUACUAGUUUAGUAGUCUAUGUGUUUAUGUAACAUUGUUUUGGUAUCAUUCAGUUUUAUUGGAGGUCCUUGUGAGCUGUGGUUGGGAAAUAACAUGCAAAUGCAGUUCAUUUUACAUGAAACAUAGGUUUUGUGAUGAACGUUUUGUGGAUCAUUCAUAUUACUGGCCAAAUUAUAUAUAUAUGAAUUCUUGAUUAGGAGAAAUCAGCCGUAGCUUGAACCUAGUAAACUAGCAAAGGAAGAAGUGAGAGAGUACUUAUCCCACAUGACCACAGCUCUAGAAUUCAAAUACCAAGGAUUCAGUUUGAGCAGCUAUUCAACUGUCUGAGAGGAAAUGGUAACUAUUCAAAGUUUCUUGGGGCUUAUUUGGAUGAUGGAUUGGGAUUCAAAUUCUUAGAAUUAGAUUGAAACCCAAAAGUAAAAAUCCUUUUCUAAACAGGCCCUAACUCCUUUUCAUCUGCAUAUAACAUGUAUUUUUACUUUUAAAAAAUCAUCCCAGUUAAGCCAAUUACUAGGCUAUUUACUAGGACUAGGCUCCCUGCGGGAUAUGGUUAUUGCAAAACGAUCAGAUUAAUAGGUUAAGUGGGGUCUAAGUAAACUCUAAUAUGUGUUCUCUUAAAAUACGUACAGGGGCAGAUGACGAUGACGAGAUGCCUAUGGAUGUCGAUGUCAAAAAUGGUCUUGAUGUUGAUUUGGAAAGACAGAUAACUACAGCAAUUGAUUCAAAGCUACUUCAACAUUUGGUAUGAAUCCUAAACAACCCGGAUUUUCGUGCCCUUAAUCGUCAUUGGGCUCUGUAUUCUUUUAUCAUGUUUGACCAUAGGUUGUAUAAUGCAUAGGUGAAUGCACUCUUCAGAGGUACAUUAAGCACAUACCAUUCUGAUCUUUCUGGACCAUCAGAUGCUGAGGUGGAUGCUGUAGGAUCUAUUUGUGCUUUUCUUCAUGUCACAUUCAAUACAUUCCCGCUAGAGCGGAUUAUGACUGUACUGGCCUACCGGACUGAAAUUGUUCCCGCACUAUGGAAUUUUAUAAAACGAUGCCAUGAAAACCGAACAUGGCCAUGUUUUUCCAAGUUUGCAUCUUCAUUACCUGCAGAUGCACCUGGUUGGCUCCUGCCCAUGUCUGUAUUUUGUCCCAUAUACAAGUAAGGCAGUUUUCCCUUUUAUUGAAAACUCUUGCUCUCAUUCUUUUCUACCAUCUUAUAUUGUCAAGCUAUUGAAAUGUAGUAAAAUUGCAUUGUAUUUCCUUAUAUGCUUAUGAUGCUUUGUCAUUGAACCCUGUACCAGGCACAUGUUGAAGAUAAUUGAUAAUGGGGAGUUCUAUGAACAAGAGAAACCUCUUUCACUUAAAGAUUUGAAGUCCCUUGUUCUCAUUUUAAAGCAGGUAUAGUAAGGCAAUACUAUUGCUACCAUUGUGUUAUCACGAUGCAUUCACUUCUGGGUUGAAUACAGUAUCUUUUUUAACAUCAUAGCUGUUGCAAACUAGUCACUGAGGUCCUCUCAUGCUUUCUGUUUGGUUAUUACUCACUCUUGGUUUUGGAAGCUCUGUUAUUGGCCGUUAUCUUUCUGGCUGCACCUUAUUUUCAAGCAUGCAAUCCUGUAGUAUGCUGGCAGGGAUUCCACCUUAAAGUCCUGGCAUGUUCUGUUUAACUAAGCUUAUCAAUAUAUGAACAAUAAUAGUAUUACAUUUUCGAACUGUCAAAAAAGAAUGCGUGAAUCCAAGCUAUUAAUUCCACUGUGCGUAAUUUGCUGUUUCGUUAUAUUGGUGACAUUUGACUUCAUAUGUUACAUACUUACAUUGCACCUUUUGUGUUGUUGGUGUCAUCAAUUGAAUUCUACAUCAAUCUGCAGGCAUUAUGGCAACUUCUGUGGGUUAUUCCUUCCUCUUCUACUCUGAAAGUGUCACCCAACCCUUCAGGCCUUAAAAAAUUGUCAGUGGAGAAUGUCAAGACCAGAGCUAGGGUUGGGCUAUCUGAACUACUCACACAGGUUGGUACUCUUGUCUGUAUACCAUCUUGUUUCUUUUUAUAGGAUUUUUUGAACUCUCAUUUUUUGGCAGGUUGUGUUUCUUUUUAUUGUUGUACUAUGAAUUAUACUUCUUAUUUUGAGUCUUGAGAAAAUGCCAACGAUACUGUAGUUUCAUAGGUUAAUUAAAUUGCAACCUAAUUGCAGUUGCAAGACUGGAACAGCCGACUCCCAUUCACUUCUGCAAGUGAUUUCUAUUCUCAAGAAGCAACAAGUGAAAAUUUUGUCUCUCAGGUAGCGAACGCCUAUGCUGUUUGAUUAACUGAAAUGUCUUUCAAGUGUUCUACUAAGACUGUGCACAUAUGUUUUCCCCAGGCGAUACUUGGCAAUACUCGAGCGUCAGAGAUUAUAAAGCUUGCUCCUUUCUUGGCGCCAUUUACUAGUAGAGUCAAAAUCUUCACUGUGAGUUAUUGCUAAUUUACUGUGUAAACAAUGCUGAAUAAGACUCUACAUCUUUUAGGAUAAUGUAUUAAAAUAUUGUUUUUUUCUAUGUGCAGUCUCAAUUGACGAGUUCUAGACAAUCGGCAUCACAUUCUGCAUUUACUAGACAUCGGUUCAAAAUAAGAAGAAAUCGACUUUUGGAAGAUGCUUUUGAUCAGCUAAGUUUGCUUUCUGAAGAAGAUCUCAAAGGACCGGUAUGAUGAUACUCUCUUAUCUUUCCUCAUGGUUUAACAUAUGAAAUGGUUGUGGUUUCCCAAUGAUACUUCAAUCUUCUUGAUGUAUGUAGAUUCGAGUGUCAUUUAUUAAUGAGCAUGGUGAGGAAGAGGCUGGAAUUGAUGGCGGUGGAAUUUUCAAAGAUUUUAUGGAAAAUAUCACUCGAGCUGCUUUUGAUGUACAAUACGGUCUCUUCAAGGUAUCUGCUCUUUUAGUUGGUUUCGUUUGUCUAAUGUGAUGGAAUCAUUGCUACAGUAACACUCAUAAUCUGUGCUGGGACCUGUUGCAUGUUAUUAAGUUAGUAGAGUCCUGGUUCACAAAUAUAUUUAUUUUUUCUUCACCAAACACAAUUGCUCUGAUGGAAUAGCUAUGAUAUACAUGUGUUGGUUUACAGUUUGGACAAGGCCUCACAAGCUUCUUUUGGAAUAUUUGAUUUUCCUUUUGUAGGAGACCGCUGAUCAUCUUCUGUACCCAAACCCUGCAUCAGGAUUGGUUCAUGAACUACACCUGCAAUAUUUCCAUUUUCUUGGAAGUCUCCUUGGGAAGGUAUUUUGGUCAUGUCCCCCUUUUCCCAUUACUAAGCUGGUGCUAGACCUAGUUCCUAGAUUCAUGCAGAAUUGAGUUUGUGGGCUAAAAGAAGUGGUUUGAGUAUUUAUUUUUUGUCUAAAGUGGAAUCGAGAUUCCUUAGCUUCCCAAUUGUAUCCCUAGCUCCAUCUCAUAGAAUUCAUGGAGCUAGGGAUCCCAAGUGUUCCCUACGACUUAUGUUGGCAUCCAAAGUAUUAUUUGAUUGCUUCAAUGGUGCUCCAGAAUUUCUGAGCUCAUAUCCUAAGUUGUCUAGGAUAUGUUUUGUAUAAUGAAGUGGGAGUAUCUAUUAGUCUUUUGGGUGCUGCAUGAUGCUAUCUAUUAUAUAGUUCUCAAUAUUUGCUCCAAAUUUCUCCAAUGGCAUCACAUUUGACUGUUACACAUCUUCUUCAAUUAGUUCUCAUGAUUUGGGGCUUUGGGCUAUGAUCUAUGUCUGAUUCAUGUUUUUCCAGGCAAUGUAUGAGGGCAUACUUGUUGAUUUGCCAUUUGCAACGUUCUUCUUGAGCAAGUUGAAACAAAAGUACUCCCUUCCUCCCUCAUCAUAUGUUGUUAUUCUAUUAUGCUGUUUGUGUUAUACAUCUUUUGUUGAUGUUCGCUUGUGUGUCUGAUCUUCUACUCAUCUAUCAGGUACAAUUUUUUAAAUGAUCUUCCUUCAUUGGAUCCAGAAUUAUAUCGGCAUCUCCUAUUUUUAAAGGUUUGGGCCCUAUUUCCAUUAAUUGGUAAAGCAGAAAACUCUCUGGAGGUUAGGAAGGGCAAUCUUUUCUAGAUGUGCGAUUGGGGCGUGGUUACGUGGCACAAAUCAUGAGCCUAUCUAGCUUUGUAGCUACUAUAGCAACUUUCUUCUUGAGGCAUUACAAUUUUCUAGUUACCAAUUAAUUAAAAAAGGGAAAAGUCCAUUUUACUCCCCUCACCUAUCCACUUUGUCCGCUUAACCCCCUGAACAAAAUUUAGGCUCACUUGACUCCCCUAAACUAUUUCAUUUGGUCCAAUCUACCCCUAAUUAGAUUUUUCUUUUUUGUUUCUCCGUGUAUGAGUUGAAUUUUGAGUUCAAAUUUUGUGAGCAGAUACAAAAUAUAAUGCCUUAUGUUAAAAAACUAUACUAAGAAUUUUUCAUGAUUAUUUUCAUAGGUUAGGAAUAUUUAAUAUGAAAUUGAUCUUAGAUAUACAAAACUGUAUGAAAGGUAAUCAUGAAAAAUUGCUAAUGUAUUUUUAUAACGUAGGGCGUCAUGUUAUAAGUCAACUAGCAAAAAUCUGAAAUUAAAACUCAACUUGUGCGCGAAGAACCAAAAAAGAUAAAUAUAAUUAGGGGGUAGAUUGGACCAAACGAAAUAGUUUAGGGAGCAAAGUGAGCCUAAAUUUUGCUUAGGGGGUUAAGUAGACAAAGUAAAUGGGUGAGGGGAGUAAAAUGGACUUUACCAUUAAAAAAAGCAAACUCGAUGCAUGAUACUGCCAUCCCAUUAUGUGUAGGUUGUUGGGUUAUGUAUAAGAGCAUACAAAGUCCAUUUACAUAAUUUCUUAUCUAAUGUUCAAAUUUGCCCCCCCCCCUUCUAAUUUGUCCUUUUUCCCUGCUCAGCAUUACAACGGUGAUAUCUCAGAACUGGAACUGUAUUUUGUUAUUGUAAAUAAUGAAUAUGGUGAACAGUCAGAAGAAGAACUUCUCCCCGGUGGAAGGGACAUGCGUGUUACUAAUGAUAAUGUUAUUACUUUUAUCCAUCUUGUUGCCAAUCAUCGGUUAAACUACCAGGUAAAAAGAUUAUUGUUAUGUUAUUUGCUUGCAUGGGAAUCCUUUGUUAAAUAACUUGCUUUGACUUCGAUCAUAGAUCCGUGCGCAAAGUACACACUUCUUGCGAGGUUUUCAACAGCUUAUACCGAAAGACUGGAUCGAUAUGUUCAAUGAACAUGAAAUUCAGGUAAUUCAACGGUAACCUUACCACUUCCUCUGGUGAUACUUGGUGUAAUGUGCUAAGUACAUUUCCCUGCCGGGGUGGUGGUGGUUGCUGAAUUGUUUUGGAUUCAAAAUUCCUUUUUUUUUCUUUGAGAAAAUGAUAGAUGGUUCUGACAUUAUCAUGGCACAUUCCUACCUCGUUUCCUUAUUUAUGAUACUGUCUUGUCUCCUGCAGGUUCUCAUAUCUGGCUCUUUAGAAAGCUUGGAUAUUGAUGACUUGCGGUCAAACACCAACUAUUCUGCAGGAUAUCAUCCGGUACGUGAUGCUUUCUUAUGUAACAAGGGCCAUCUUUUUGUUACUCAAAUGUAGCCUAGCAACCUUAUUCAAAACAUGACAUGUGAAUCUGCAUAAUUUAUGUAAUGCUAUAUCAAUAGGCUCAGUUACGUGGUUUUACCCCUAUUAACUUUGGAAGGACCAAAAUGUUGUGAAUAGUAGCAGUGCAAAAAUCUGGCUGCAAAUAUAAGCUCCUGUCCCUGAUGAACUACACAGUUCUUUCAAAUAUAAAAAGGAAGAAUAUUCUCGGUUUCUAAACCUAGCUAUCUUAUCAGCAACUUCUAGCAAGAUGUCUUUCCAAUUAAAGCUAGCAAAAAAAGAAAGUUUUGGCCGUCUAGAUAAAUGGCAAAGUUUCAGCAAAUAUCACCACAAACAGAGCCCAGUUUAGCUUCAAACUAGCUGACAGCAUGUGUUAUGGGCAACAUAUGACUGCAAAAUCCUAUUGUAAGACUCCAGACUCUACAUAAUGGGCUACAGGGUGCGUGGGCAGUACUACAGUGUGCAUGGACAGUACUGCGGGCCUUAAUGGGCCCCCCUGUUGGGUCUACCCGCUGCAGGACUGUAAUAGCGUGGUCCAG
Molecule: long non-coding RNA, 83803 nt
Filed under: Setaria italica (foxtail millet)
Lineage: Eukaryota; Viridiplantae; Streptophyta; Magnoliopsida; Poales; Poaceae
Description: long non-coding RNA (SITA_LNC005491)
Source: RNAcentral